This 49450-nucleotide long non-coding RNA is filed under the name Populus trichocarpa (black cottonwood). RNAcentral describes it as "long non-coding RNA (PTRI_LNC003341)". The record is from RNAcentral. Lineage: Eukaryota; Viridiplantae; Streptophyta; Magnoliopsida; Malpighiales; Salicaceae.
GAUACUUUUUGCCAUCGCAAGUUGUACUGCCAAAAAUUAGAUAAGCAAAUUAAGGAGAACAGAUUAAACUGAACGCCCUUGAUUAAUCAAUGACAAAGAAAUAUCCUUCUUAAUUACUUGAAUAUUGUAUUUUGGUAAGGUCCACGUCUGUAAUCUGAGUUUGUGGAAGCGAUUCCUCUCGACAACAAAAGUGCGUCCAUAAGUCCAAGUUAACAUCAUGGUCCACAAGGUCACCGGCCACAUUAACCAUAGAUACCACUUCGAUUCUUGAGGGUUGGAAGCCAAGCAGGCAAGUCCAAGCCGUAAAUGAUAGAUGGAAUCUGGUGUGGUAAGAUGAGUUAGAUGCACUACAUCAGGGGCUUCCUCGGGUCUCUUGAGCGAAUCUUCAUAGAGGGUAACAGAAGACGUGUCCAUUGUGCCAUAGAUGUAAUCAUAGAUGGGCAUGAAUAGUGAGUAAUUGGUUCUGAAUUGAGUGUGGUGAAGAGAGUGGUACCUGCAGCCAUAUCAAGUGUUUAUUAGUUCAUCAUGGAGGGAGUAACUAGUUCUAAACUGGCUUUGGUGAAGAGAGUUGGAACUUGCAGCUGCAUCAAAUGUUAAAUCAUGCAUUCGCGCUUAUCAGAUAUUGUUUUGAACACUGAUUAAUAGACAACGCAAUAAUGCACUGUCAGUGAAAAUAUAGUGGAAAAGGUGAAAUGUACGCGUCAAAGCUAUUAAAAUACAGUAUAAAAUCACAAAACGAUACUAUGGAAUUAUAAUUAACAGAGUAUUUUCCAUAGACGACUGUAUAUUCUUUUCAUCUUCUUUUUAUGCAAAAUUUGGUGAAUCAUUUUCCUGCUUUUUGUUCAUAAGUAUGGAAGAAAUCCCAUUAAUAAAACGAAGAGGAUACUGGUGAGAAUUAAUGAUUGAAAAUGCAAAAAAUCAACUGAGAUACAUCUAGACUUACGAUGGGGUGUACAUGAGGUACUUGAGAGGGGGGAAAAUGAUGAAGAGCCAUCUGGGAAUGAGUUCAAAGUUGCAGUGACCCAUGUUGUUCAUCAAGUCGAUGUAAGUGAUAUAACCAGCAAAGGAUGUUAAAGAGGCUGUCCCCGUCACAAUAGUCGUUAUCAAAGGUAUUGCGAAUAGCAUGGAGUAGGAUAUGUGCUCGGCGAAUGGAUGAAUCACAGCUGCGAUGCAGAUUUCCAGAAAGAAAAUGUCAAAUAAUUACACUUACUGUAUAUCAUCAUCAUGUAUUGCUAAUAGUAAUGGAGAAUGGUAUGCGUUCCCCUCAAUCACACAAGAUUUUUCUUCCGUUAUUAUAAAAAUACUCGAACUUAAAACCUUCUAUGAAAGGUCAAUUAAACUAAGUUUAUCAACGAUCACACAAGAUUAUUAAUAAUUCAAAUGCACACCAUAUAUAAAUGUGUGUCAUUCUUCUUAAGGAGUACUUAAGAGAUUAACUAUUCACUUUGAAAUUCUUAAAUAACUUUUAAACCACCAACACCAUAUAUACAUGGGGGCCGGGGGUGUUUGGAGGGAGACUUACAAGUAAUGGGCUCUGUGACAAUGGAGGAAUGGUGGUGGGAAUGAUAGCGAGAGUAGAGAUAGUGGUGAUGAAGAAGUCGAUGAAGCCAAUAAUACAGAAAUUCCACCGGACCCAUAUGAAUCAGAGCUGUUAGAAUUACACCAUCUAACCUCCACAUGGGGAGAUGGCUAGCUCCUGGAAUUAUUUUGCUACCAACGUAGAAUAAAAUUCCAUUGAACAAUAUUUGGUCAUCCCUGCGGAUAUCCAACCAGAAAAUCCAAGUAUCAAAAAACUCACAAGCACUAGCUAGAGUGGAAAUUAAUGCAUGAAAUUAUUGAAAAAGUAUAUAUAUAUAUAUAUAUAUAUAUAUAUAUAUAUAUAUAUAUAUAUAUAUAUAUAUAUAUUUGAUUAUACAAAUACCAGUUGCUUUCUCUAUCAACUUGAUCAAAUUCAAUGCCUUUGUCAAUAAUCCUGUUAUUUCCUUUGGCUGUUCUGUAACGGGACAGGCUGAUCCAUAACUGGUUGUGAAGCACUCUCCACAACAGAAUUGGGAAAAUGAGAAAGCUUGGGAGAUCUUUUUCAUCUUUAACCAUGAAGGCGUAGAUGUUGUGAAUGACACAAGGAGCCAAUAUUACAUGCUGCAAUAUUUAAACACACAAACAAAACACAGAUAUAUAUUAUUGUUUUAGGGUUAUGAUAUAUUAACGUUGUUUGCACGAAAACGAGUUACUCUACGUGUGAUAUCAGAUAACGAGAAGAAAAGGAGCGAGAGAGAGAGAUGGGAGGGAUUUCCAUAUGACCUUAAAGCUUCCAAGAGGUUUCCAUGGCCAGUCUGUGAGAAUUCCAGGCCGAGAAGCCAUCACUUCACUGCUACUACUUGUCUUUGUUUCCUCGCUUGUAGGGAAGUCGUGUAUAUAUAGACGAUGAGUAAUAUAUUUUCUUUAGCGUUAACGUUAUAAUUAUUGAUGAGUAAUGUUUUUUUAAUAACAGUACUGCCGCUCGAUCAAGUUAGAGCUGAGUAAAUUAUAAAUUAAUCCUUUUAAUUUUGGAAAAUAAAUUAAUUAGUCAUCUUCUUAAAAAAAAAAACAAAUUAUUCAGUUUUUUUUUAUCUAUUAUAUGUUAUUUUCUAAAUUAUGUUUUAAUAAAUAAAUAGAUAUUAUGGAAAGAUUGAUGAGAAAAGUAGAUAUUUUUGUAAAUAAAUUAAUAUGAAAGUAAGCAUGAUUAACAAUGAUAAGUGAUUAAAUAAUUAAAAUAGAUUGGUCAACCAUAUUUGUAAAACGAUACAUGUUUCAAUAUACUAAACUCUCUUGCAGGGUAUUUUUUGUCUUUUUACCAUGCUUUCUUUUUAUUAAUAUCAAGGUUACUCAUGAUGAUUAUUAUAUAUAAUCAUAUAUUAAAUAUUAUUAAAAAAAAUUUAGUUUGUGCGUCGAGCUAAUAAGCAGGCGUCAUGUCAUUUGGACAGUAUAUGUGAGGUCAUGCAGUUAUCAAACACCACCUACUGCAGUAGUAUUUGAAUCAUCUCAGCGUCCUCUCCUUAAAGAGGUGACACGUGUUUCAAACGACCCUUCAGUUUGGCAUCAAUAGUCUUUUCAUCCUUUUCUUUUUCUCUCUAUCUUGAUUUUCGCACUACCCCUUAAAAAUCUUAAAACAUCCCAUUCAAUUUGUAUUAUAUUAAGAUUUUGUUCUUUUUAUUUUUAUUACUAUUUGUUUUAUUUUGAAUAACUUAUAGAAUUAGAAUUCUUUUUCAAUUUCAUCCCCCUUCAAUUUUUUAACCUUUCAAAUUUGAUCAUCAUUCUUUUAAUUGUUGUUUAUUUUAUUUGAGAUAAUUUUUAAAAUUGAUUUUUUUUUCAUUUUAUCCUCCUUGAGUUUUUUCCUAUCAAAUUUGAUCCUCUUUCUUUUGAUUGAUAUUUUUUACUUUGAAAGAAAUUUUAAAUUGAUUUUUUUUUCAAUUUCAUCCUUGAACAUUAAAUUAAUUGGGAAUUGAGCUUUUCAGUUGAGCUCAGGUCUAGGAUUUCAUGGGCUGCAAGUUUUAGAGAUUAGCCAAGGUUUAGAAGGCUUGCUCAGAUUUACUUGAUUUUUUUUAUUCAUUUAGGCUUUUUUUUUAGUUUCAUCCAUUUAUUCAAUUUGAGAUUAAGCUCCAUUAUUUUUAUUUAUUUUAUUUUUUUAGAAUUUUACACUAAUUUUUAAAAUGUACCAGGUUAUUUUAGGUCUUUUUUUAUUUUUUGUUCUUUGUUGAAUUUCUUUUGCUAAUUUUUUAAAUUGAUAAUUUUUUUAUAAUUUCAUCUUUCAAUAUCUAGAAUAAUUUUUUUAUAAAAUUAGAAUUCUUUUUCAAUAUUGUCCUUUUUGAAUUUCUUAAUCUUUCAAAUUUGGUCCUCAUUCUUUUGAUUGUUAUUAUUUUUAUUUAAGAUAAUCUUUUAAAUUAAUUUUUCUUACAAUUUCAUCCUUAUUAGGCUUUUUCUAUCAAAUUUGAUCGCCAUUCUUUUGGUUGCUAUUUUUCUACUUUGACAAAUUUUUCAAAUUCAUAUUUGUUUUUCGAUGUCAUCCUUAAACAUUAAAUUAGUUAAAAAUGGAGCUUCUUGAUUGAGCCAUAGUAUGAGAUUUCAAUGUUGAAUGAUAUUGUGAAUUUCACUUUUGCUUCUUCCAAACAUCAUUUUGAGUUAAAAUUGACUAAAAAAUAUGAAGUUCGAGAGUUGAUAAUAACCGGAGAACUUGAGAAUGUUAUAAAGGCAAAUGAAGCUUCUAUUUUACAUCAACCUGAAACAACUAGUUAGGGUUCUCAUUUUAGUUCAAUAAGGAGUUUAAUUGAGUUAUUUGAAACAAUAAGAACAUUGCUAUUAAAGAUUGAUGAAAAUGGACCAAACUUUCAAUUUCAUACUAAGGCUUUCAAAUAUUAUUUUGCCAUGACAACUUUUGACUUUGUCAUUGUCUUACUUUUUACUAACAAAGUUAUGAGAGUUUAUUGAUUUUCUUUAACAAACGCUUCAAAGAAAAGAUUAGGAUAUUGUAUAUGCUUUAAAUUUUAUUUCACAUUCAAAUUUUCAACUUCAAUGUUUGAGGGAUAGCGAUUGGGAUGAUCUAUUUAAAAGUUUGGUAUUUUUUUAUGAACAACAUGAUAUUGAGAUUUUUGAUAUAAAUUCUCCUUAUUUGUUUGAUACAAGUCAUUCUUAUUAAUAAAGAGAUUCUAAUAUAGUUAAGUAUCAUUAUCAAUAUGAUAUAUUUAACACUGUGUAAUAUAUUUUUAACUGAUGGAGUUAAAUCAUAUAUUUUCAUAAAACACAGUGGAGUUGCUUUAUCUUGGAUCAAUAUUGGAUCAUUUUCAUGCCUUCACAUCAUUUAAAAUUGACGAUACAUGUAAGCUUGCUGAGAAAUUCUAUGCUGAAGAUUUUGCUCUUUUAAAUUUACAUGGUUCAAGAAUACAGUUGGAAUAUUAUAAGUUGUCAAUGGAUCAUCCAAACUUUGAGAAUAUUGAUUAUCUUACUACAUUGUAUCAUCAUUUAGUUGACACAGGCUUGAUAAAUGAUUUCGACUUGGUUAAUAGAAUGAUUCGAAUGGUACUAGCUCUUCUUGUUUCUUCAUCAAUGACUAAACAAACCUUUUCAUCUAUGAAGUUCAUUAAAAAUCAGCUUUGAAGUAAAUUGGCCUCUUUAGGCCGACACCAGCGCCGUCUCGUUGCCAUUAAGCCUGAGCUGUUCACAGUUGUAGAGAAAUUAAUUCCAUUUGCGUGAGUAGUAUUAAUCAAGAUAAUAAAUUUCAAACACCAUCAUCUUCUGGCGACCCUCGUCUGGUACAGCGGCUUAAGGAAAAUAGGAAGCCAAUGAGCUCAAGCAAAUGGACAUGUCCUUCAAACACGAGAGCACCUGCUAUUGCCCGGUCAUUUUACAUGGUCCCACCUAUGCUGGCGAUUAUUCAAUUCUUUUUUUUUAGUUUAACGUAGGUGUCCGGAUUAGCUUGCAUGUAUUUCGACUAAUCCCACGGGUCCUGAAGUUAACGACCAUGUAAGCCUCCAGUGGCCAUCAUAUGAACAACCACAGGGCUCGAACCUGAAACUACAGAGAAAGCAAACCUCUUGGUCCCAAACUUUUACCACUGGACCACCACCUAAAUGGUUGCGAUUAUUCAAUUCUUAUUGUGAGUUUCGUGAACCUUAUAGAAUUGUUUACUCUCCUGUUGGCUUGAAAUGAUUUUUCUGAUGAGUAUCUCAUAUGCAUUAAAUAAGUGGAUUUCGUUAAUCAUUCAUAUAAAACUAAUAGUUGGUUUUUUGGUAAGUAAAUUCUGUAAAAUACUUAUAUAAAAAUAGCAUUAUUUAUUAUAGAAAUGUGAUGUAAAUGUCAUUGGUUCUAUUAUGUUAAUGGGUUCCUGAAAAACUCUAACAAGUUUUUUUUUUCUUUUUAAUUACAAUGAACUAGAAAUCUUAAGUUGCAUGUAUAUAAAAUUAGUUUAAAAAGUGAUAAGAAUAUUUUUAUAUAAAUUUUUUUAUUUGUAUUAUUUUAAUUUUUUUUAAGUGAAGUUUAAAAAGUAAUUAAUAGAUAUAGUUGGUUAUUCAUUGAGUACUAUAAUUGUUUUUUGAACGCUUGAAUUUAUAUUGAUAUAGAAAAGAAUGAAGUUUCAAAAAUUGUGUAGUAUUUAUUUAAUCUUAAAUUUUAAAAAAAUGGAUAGAGAGAUGACAUUAAAAGUUUUUAGGUAAUUAGAUUAUGAAAACUUUUUUGUUUUUUUGAACGCAUCAAGAGCACUGAAAAACUAAUAAUAUUGUAACAUUAAAGUAUAUGUCUCGGUAUUGUAAAAACCGGAAGUAAUUAUAGCAAUUAAUAAAGGUACUACAUUAAAAAAAAAAAUAAGAGGAUGUUUUUCAGGGACAUGCGAGCAGGCUGUCUUUUCUCACUUUAAUAUUUCAUCAGAAAUAACAUCUCAAUAUAUGCCAAUAAAUGUGAGGGUGCGUGCGUUUUCUGGUUAUUCAACCUGGAUCAGCCUGAUAGGUGAUCCGAGACUUGAUUAAUCUAGUAGUUGAACCAAUUUAGAUAAGUUAAAAGAUUAGGGUAAGUAAAAACCCGGCAAAACCCGGAUGACCCCUCAGGUUAACUUGUAAGCCGGGCAACCCGGCAAAACCCAGUUUUUUUUUUUUCAAAUGUGUUUUUUUUUCUAGCCAAAGACCCCUCUUUUUUAUAUAUAUAUUUGGUUAAUUAUUAACCCUUUUCAAAGUUCACUAUAUAAAUACUAGAAGAAUGUUUUAUUUUUUCAAUAUGAGAUUUGAAACCUUUUAAUAUAUAUAUAUUCUAUGUUUACAAGAAAAAAAUUAUUUUUUCAAUAUGGGAUUUGAAGCUUUUUAGUAUAUAUAUUCUAUGUUCACAAGAAAAAAAGUUAUGUUUUUUCAAUGUGGGAUAAAAAACCUUUUUGGUUUAAAUACUUCAACUUAAAAGGAUAACAUACUAACAUAGUUUCUUUUGAAUGUGAGAUAAAAAAAUCUUUUGAAAUAAUUUUUUAAUCUUUAUUAUUGAUAAUAUGUAUAGUUGUCACUGGGUAAAUUUUUCGCUCCACAAAUAAACCCGUGUGGCAGCCUAGUCCCCACUAGACUCAGCCUUUCCUCACAAAUCUCACUCGUGUUUGCCUAGUAACUAAGUAUUUCCCUCACUCAAGAGGUUUUCCCCACUUUCACUAGUUAAAAGACAAGCAGAAUACACAAGUAAAAUAAGUUAAUUAAAGUACACAACAAACUUUACAUGAACUAUUUCUCAACCUUUAUUAAUCUCGUAAACAAAGGAAACACUAUACACAAAUCCCAUGUGUGCUAUGCACAAAGAUUGCAUGCUACACCAAGCUUACAUGCUCUAUUUCAUGCUCCUACAUGCUCUCCCAACCAAGAGUUGCAACAACUAUUUAUAGACAAGCAUUUACAAGGGAUAAUUUUAGCUGACUUUGGACCCGAUUUUCUCCUCUCUCAGACCCUCAAAAUCACCUUUAUUUAUAGAUGAUGGAAGAGGAAAAUCUUGUCUACACUUGGGGAAAAUUUCAGCCCAUAAUUCACUUGGAAAAAAUCCUAACUGUUGGUUCAAAAUAAGAAUUCUGAGUUGUCAAAUCUGCAGAAAAAACAAACUGAAUUGCCCUCUUUAGACCGGCACCAGCUCCGUCUCGUUGCCAUUAAGCCUGAGCUGUUCACAUGAGGUUGUCGAGAAAUUCCAUUUGUGUGAGUAGUAUUAAUCAAGAUAAUAAAUUUCAAACACCAUCAUCUUCUGGCGACCCUCGUCUGGUACAGCGGCUUAAGGAAAAUAGGAAGCCAAUGAGCUCAAGCAAAUGGACAUGUCCUUCAAACACGAGAGCACCUGCUAUUGCCCGGUCAUUUUACAUGGUCCCACCUAUGCUGGCGAUUAUUCAAUUCUUACUUGUAAGUUUCGUGAACCUUGUAGAAUUGCUUACUCUCCUGUUGGCUUGAAAUGAUUAAUUUUCUGGAUGAGUAUCUCAUAUGCAUUAAAUAAGUGGAUUUCGUUAAUCAUUCUCAUAAAUCUAAUAGUUGGUUUUUUGGUAAGUAAAUUCUGUAAAAUACUUUUAUAAAAAUAGCAUUAUUUAUUAUAGAAAUGUGAUGUAAAUGUCAUUGGUUCAAUUAUGUUAAUGGGUUCGUGAAAAACUCUAACAAGUUUUUUUUUUUUUUUAAUUACGAAGAACUAGAAAGUGAGAAGAUUGGACUUAAGUUGCAUGUAUAUAAAAUUAUUAUAAAAAGUGACAUGAAUAUUUUUAUACAGGAUUUUUAUUUUUAUUUUUAUUUUUUUAUAAUGAAUUUUAAAAAAUAAUUAAUAGGAUAUCACUGGUUAUUUAUUAAACAUAAAAAAAUUUAUUUUUGAAAUCUUAAAUUUAUAUUAAUGUGGAAAAAAAUAAAGUUUAAAAAAUUAUGCUAUGUUUAUUUAAUCUUAAAUUAAAAAAAUAAAAUUAAAAAAAUUAGUGUUCACGUUAACAUGAACAGUGUGAGUGAAUAUUAAUUAAUUCAUUGUCUAUUUUUUAAAAAAAAAUAAAAUUUAAAAAAUUAUGCCAUGUUUAUUUAAUUUUAAAUUAAAAAAAGAAGAUAAAGAGUUCACAUUAAGAGUUUUUAAGUAAUUAGAUUAUGAAAACUUUUUUUGUUUUUUUGAACACAUCAAGAGCACUGAAAAACUAGUAAUAUUGUAACAUUAAAGCAUACGUUUCAGUAUUUAGUAUUGUAAAACUGGAAGUAAUUAUUAACAAUUAAUAAUUAACGGCACUACAUAUGCGAGCAGGCUGUCGUUUCUCAUUUUAAUUAUUUCAUCAGAAAUAACAUGUGCCAAUAAAUGUGAGGGUGCUUUUUCUGCUAGCUGCGGCAAGGUUUGUUGCCGACAGUGAUUUUGUUUUCUUUUUUUGUUUUUUUCCUCAUCUUACACUGUUAUUCAAAAUUUUUAGAAUUGUCGUUGCCCGCAUUUUAACUUUGGAUUUUAUUUUUGUUUUUAUCUCUUUUAUAAAAUCUUAAUUUAUUUUAAAUUUUAUUAUUUAAUUUUAAUUUGUGAUAUAUUAUUUUUUUCAAUUUAAUCUUUAUUUUUUUAAUUAUUUUUUUUUCAAGUCCUUUUGUUAAAUUGAUUUUUCUUUUUGGUUUCAUACUUCAAUCAAAAAUUUAUUUUAAUUUUUAUUUUAAUUUUGAUCCUAAUUAUUUUGAUUGUUUUUUUAUCCUUUUGUUAAAUUAAUUUUUCUUUUUAAUUUUAUCCUUCAAUCAAAAAUAAAAUUUAUUCUUUAUUUCAAUUUUGAUCAUCAUUCUUUUAAUUGUAACCUUUUGUUUUGGAUCCUUAUAUAUAAUUGAAAUUUCUUUUCUAAUUACAUCUUUUAAAAUUUGAUUUAUUGAGAAUUGAGUUUUGUGGUUUUUAGAUUGGGUGCUCGGAUUUUCUCUACUUAUUUUAUUUUCGACAUUGGUUUCUUCAAAAAGACUUUAAAAAUAAAUCAGUUAAAAUUAAUUAUAUUUUUAUAUAUUUUUAAAUCAUUAAUAUGUUAAUGUCAAAAAUAAUUUUAAAAAAUAAAAAGUAUAUUAUUUUAAUAUAUUUCUGUGCAAAAAAUACUUUGAAAAUAACCACCAUCACGCUUUCAAACACUUAUAUAAUGAACCAAGCUUACUAUUUUAUAUUUCUUUGUGGAGUAGAAAUCCAUCAAGUGAUCCCUCAAGUUUUAAAAAUUAGCUAAAUCACCCUCUUUAUUUCAAUUUAUUUUAGGAUUUCUUUUCUCUUUUUUGUUAUUAUAAAGGAGAGAUUCAAACUUAAAGCCUCUUAAAGGAGAGAAGACAGUGAUACUAAUUGAGUUACAACUCUCCUUUUUUAUAAGAAAAUAAAUUAAUAUGAGAUGUUAACCCUCGUGUUUUGAAUUUGUAGUCAAGCAUGUAUGGUCAACCCUGGCGACUACAAACUGAACUGUUGUGCCUAAAAUUAAAGUGUAAUGGUCGAUUUAAUCAAUUUCCAAAACUUGAGGUAUCAAGACAUGAAUUUACUUUUUAGAAGAAAAAAGAAUACAUCGAAUGACCCUUCUUGUCGUAGUUUUGAAACUCGGCCCGGCCCGGCGGGUUGACCUGGGGCUGGAACCGAUCCGGGUUAAAGAAAAAAUGGGGGAAGGAAAAACUCGGUGUGACCCGGCGGAUUGACCCGGCGACCCAGUCAAGACCCGGUUGCAAACCCGUUGACUUUUGCUUUUUUUACUAAAACGACAUCGUUUUGAUUUAAAAAAAACUGACCCAGCCAACCCGGUGAUCUGGUCAAAAUUCAGAACCCGAGCCUUAGACCGGACCGGCCACCUGACCGGGUCUUAAAACUACGCUUCUUGUUUUGAGAGUGAAUAAUCAUACUCGUAGAAGUUUGGAAGCAUUUCCAUUUAUUCCCAAAUAAUCAUGCCAUUCACAUAUACUUAUCGUGUCUACUUGUAAUGUAUAUGUAAUAGUGAAUGUACCCAUGCCACGCUUUUGGUGGAAUUCCAAGUUAAUUUCAAAUGCAAAAGGAGAAUAUGCAUGUACUAUAUUAUAGAUGUGUUUUUUAAUCUCAUAAAAUUUGUUAAUUAAGGAAGGAAGGUUUAAUACAAUGAAUUGAAAAAAAUAUAUUAAUAGGUAAAUAAAAAAAUUAUGAAUGUUAAUUAAACAUUUAAUGUUAUUUUUUAAAAAUAAGAAGUAAAAUACAAAUACAAAUACAAACAUUUUACAUCGAUAUUAUUUUUAUUUUAUUUAUUUAUUCUGAAGCUAUGAUUACUAAAUACAUAUGAAUUUUAAUUUUAUAAAUACAAAAUACAGAUAUAACUAAUCUAUCUUAAAUCUAAAAUCAAAAAUCAAAAAUAAAUUAUAAUAAUUUUUUUUUGAGGUAUUGCAAAAUUAUAGAAACCAACCAAAACUUUUAUUUCUAUUAAAAAUAGUCAAACUAAACAACUUUAAAAAUGAGAAAGAGGAAAUUAAUUAAGAAUUAAACUAGAAAAAAAAACCAAUGAAAAAAAAAAAAGUCAAGGUUACUGGACCUAGAAGACUAAGUCCACUCACUUAACCUAAAAAGAAAAGGCCUAUACGGCCCGGUUCUCUAUUUUUUUUUUUAAAGAUAGGUAACAUGUUUUCUUUUCAAAUAUUUUUUUAAUUAAUCAAACGACAUGUCAUCUAUCUAGAUCGACAACAUAUCAUUCAUCAUUAUCUUAUCUAAUCACCUUCAAUGAUUGAAAAAUUAGAGUUUGACUUUUUGUAUUCACAAAAACAAUUUUCAACUUGUUUUAUAAAAAACACCCCUAAAAUAUUUAAAACUUCCAUAAACUCAUUCCAACCUCAGAACAUCAUCUAAUCACUAUAAAAAAUGAAAAUCUAAUAUAAGAAUAAAAAUGCUUUACGGACCUAGUCAUCCUUUUCUAGCAUGUUUAAAGGGCAACAUACCACCUUCAUUCUAUUUAAAAUAAACCAAUUAACACCAAAAUCAGUCUUUUGUGUUCAUAAUAUGGCUUACCAUACCAUUUCUCUUUCCUUUACCUUUUUCCAACAACUUUAUCUCCCCUUCCUCUGCAUCCAAUGUCUGAAAUGUAAAAGAAAACAAAUUAAAGUUUAAGAUUGAAAUAUAAGAACCUAAAACAACAAAAUUCAAAUAUGCAAAAAUUUAAAAAAAAAAUAAGACAUUAAAGUGAAUUUUCUCGUGUCUUUGGAUAGUAAACACGAAGAAAAGGCUUUAUUUUUUAUUUAUUUUAUUUUUGGUAAUUAUUCUAACUUUUUUGAACAAUAACCUAAAAUUCCAUUUUAUAAAAUUGUUCUUUCAUGUAAUAUCAAAAUAUUCUUUAACAUCUCGCACACACGAAAGUAUGUGAAUAAAAAAAAUGUCAAAAUAUAAAAUCAUGAUAACAUAACUUUUGAGGACGAGAUUAAAAAAAAACUCUUAAUGAUCAAAACAAAAUGAACUAAAAACUUGAGGGUCCUAGAAUGAAAAAUUGUCUAAUAAACUGGGAAAUGAGUGUUGAUAAGAACAAUGAUUUCCUAGAAUUUUUUAGUUUAUUAAGUAAUAAUUACACAAAUAAAUAUUUUUUUUUUGGGUUACAACAAAUAGGUGUUUUAAUACUUAAAAGUUAUUCAAAUAUCAAAUGUAAGAUUUGAUAAGAUCCAUUCCUAUAUUUGAACAAAUUAUAUCUCUUUAAAUCAAAAUUAAUUCCUUAUGUAAUUUCCCACAUAACAAAUACAAGUUAUACAACAUAUGAAACAAGAUGAAUAUAACUUGCUUGGAUUAGCUUGAUAUGGAAGUAGGGAUGAUAAUGGAUGGAAUUAUAGUAAUUUACUUCCUAUGUUGUGUAUCUUUUCUAUUCGUUCAAAUUAGAUCAGAUUGAAGAAUUUAUUCACUUAUUAAGUAAUCAUUAUCCAUUCUAAUUUGUUUUUCUAUUUAAAAAUGAAUAAUUAUGUUAUUUUUAAAAACCAUAUGAAAUCACAUAGUUAAAGCAUUGAAAUAAAUAAAUAUUUAUUCAUAAAUCACAUUAAGAUAAAAUACAAUAAUAAAAAAAUGUUAAGUGAUAACAUAUGAAAAUCUCCAUUCCUCCCUUCAAGGUAAAAUCAAGUAUAAUUCAAUCCUUUUAUUUUAAUGAAACUAAUUAAUUAUCAUCAUGAGUUUAGAAACUAUAUAUUCAAUCUUAAAAUUUUAAAAUAUGUUUAUGCAUUAAUAAGAUGGACAAUCCAUAAUCCUUUUUUUAUCUUUCUAAAGCUCAUGAUUACACCUCUAAACACUAUAAGAACUGAGGUAUUCACUGUUAUCAAACAAAAAUAAUUUGUCACAGUAAAGAAAAAUCAAUUAAUCUUAAAAAAAUACUUCCCCAUUUGCCUCAAAUAAAGAUAUGUUUAUUGAACAAACAAGGUUUUUUAAAGAGAGGGCAAAGAUAUAGACUAAAGCCAUGAAAAGAAAACCAAUCGACCUCUAUGAAAUAUGUUUUCAUUUACUUUAAAGAUAAGAAAACUAUGUUUAUAAAACAAAUAAGGCCUCCAAAAGAGAGACCAAAUAUAUGGAUUGAAGCCGUAAAGGGAAAACUAAUUAGCCUUUAGGAAAUGCGCCUCCACUUUUCUUAAAGGUAAGAAAACUAUAUUCAUGGAACAUAUAAGGCCUCUAAAAAAUAGACUAAAGAUAUUGACUAAGGUUGUAAAAGAUGAAAAAGAAAUAAGUCUCUUUGAACAUGAUACUAGUGUAAUCAUUAAGAUUAGAUUUGCAUUAGACAUCGGGUAGGAGAAAGCCAUCACGAAGCUUUUUAAAAUUCAAAGGGCUAAUUUUACUUUUAAUCCCUCUGAUAUUCUAAGUAUAGGCUAGGAUGUGGUCUCCCAUAGAUCAAACGUCAAUUUAUCUCUCAUUGUUACUAGACAAAAAAAGAGUUUUAAAGGGAAAGAUAAAAGGUCAUAAUCGAGGAGGUAGAUAAGUUGCUAGAAGCAUGUUUCAUUUGAUAAGUAAUGUACUCUAAUUAGCUUGCCAAUAUGGUUAUGGUGAAAUAAUAGUCUUGAAAGAUUAUCAUGUCCUUUUUCAGUCGUUGAUCUGCACCCAUUGCAUCUCCUCGUUUGAUGCUAUUAUAGUAUAAGAACAGUUGGCUUGGAAAACUAGUUUUGAUGUGGAUUUUUUGCUCUAUAUAGCAGUAUGUUCAGUGCUGCAAAAUGGUUAUUAUUUCAUUCAGGCAAGAGUACAAAGGACAAGGUGUAAAGGGGGGGUUUGUCUUGUGUAAAGGAGAAAAGAGCGAGUUUUAAACCUUGCACACACACACAGAAAGAGAGAGAGAGAGAGAGAGAGAGAGAGAGAGCAGUUGCCCAUUCAUUCUGUCUCACGGGAAGUUGAAGACAAUCUAUAGUGCUUCCUAAAAUAUAUAUAUAUAUAUAUAUAUAUAUAUAUCAAAACGAGUCGUUUCAUUUAAAUGAAACAGUAUCGUUUUGACGCUUAAUGUUUGAAUUAGGUUAAUUCUUCUUUUUCAAUUUCAAUCUUCCAAUUUAUUCAAUUAGGUCUUUAAUUGAAUUUUAGGAAUCAAUUCAAUUUUACCCCUGUACAGUUUCAAAAACAUCCCCUGAUUUCAGUAUGUUUUUCAUCUUGGUCCUUGGUUUUGGAUUUAUAAAAAUUGAUCCUCAAUUGAUCAUUUAACAUUUGAUUUUCUUCAAUUUGGCCCAUGAUUUUAUCGAUUUCAGCCCCUGAAGUCUCGCGCCUCUAACAAGUCGAUCCCUGAUCUUGAAAUUCUUUGAUUUUGCUCUUAAUUGACUCCAAAACUUUAUUUUUCUUGAAAUGUUGUCCUUAUUUUCACCCAAAUGACUUUGUAGAAAUUAAAUUUUGUCCUUUAAAAUUCUAAUCUUCUCAAUUAAGUCCAAAUUAGGCUUUCAAUCUUAAUUUUUCAUCAAUGAAGUCUCUAGUAAAAUUAAAUUGACCCAUUAAAAAUCUAAUUAAAUCCUUGCACUUAAUUAAAUCUUUUAAUUUGACCCAAAUUAAUUCUUAAACUUAAUUAAACCUUUAAUUGGAGCCAUGAUUAAAUCAAAUUGACCUAUCAAAAGUCUAUUAAGUCCUCAUACUUAAUUUUUAUGUAAAUUCACCUAAUAGUCAUUUAAUUUGGCCUUAAUUUGUAUUGUCUCUCAGUCUUGGAUUCAAUUGGUUUAAUUGGGCUCCAAAUUAUGUUCAAAAUCCCAAUUUAAUUCCUCCAAGUGCUUGAAAUCCUUCUUAGCCUACUCUUACUAAUAUUUUUUAUUUUCAUUUUCAUUGUUAUUUUUUAUUACUUCUUAUUUUAUUUUAUUUUUUUGUAUUUUGAAAAUAUUUAGAAACAGGGAGUCAAAAAUUGGGUUAUAAAAAAACCAUAGUUUCCUUAUUUCUAUUUUGUGUAUCAGAUCUAGAACACCUUCUAAAACGUUUUGACACAAAUUAUUGAAAGAAUGCCCAAUUACUCUUUGUGAAAUACCUCGGUUUAAUCUUUUCCACUUUUCAAUGUCAUGUUAGAGCUAACUUUUCUAAUUACUUGUUUAUGGGUAUCGUACCACAAAUCAUGCAACCUGUUAUAGAAAUUUGUUAAACAAAAAAGAGGCAAGGAAAUAAAAGAAUACAAGUUUAUAAUAAUAUAACAUCAAUUAGUUUAAACAUACCUAGUUGCACAAUGGUUUUCCCACAGUCUUUUAACAAGUGCCUUGUUGCUAUUGUCCCACCAAAAAAAUUUCUUAAUUGAUUUCAUACAUUAAUUAGUUUUCAAAUUUUAAAAAACUAGUAACUCAAAAUAGAUAUUAUUUAAUUAUCUAACCUUAAACUUUCUCCAUCAAACAUUUACCAUGUUCAUCCAUUCAGGAUGCUUAUAAAGCUCACUCUAUUAAACAAUGGUUCUUUAAACAACCACUUCAUUGUAGAGGUUAUCGAACAUGCAACUUCAAUAUUGGUGAACUUGAAAACCAUUUCAUCAAUGUUAUUUUCAUGUAAUAUAAAACUUAAAAUAACUUAAUAGAAUAAAUAACUUCAAUAUUGAGAUAAAUAUUAAUUAUAUACAAUGGUCGCCUUUCCAUUAUGCAAUAAUUUUGUCUGAAAAAGGCCCUAACAAAGUAGGGAUGCCUACUAUGUUAUCCUUAUUGGUUGAGCCUUGAUCGGUAACUUCUACAUUAAGUGGUGUGUCCUUAUAAUCAUCAUCUAUAUUAGCAACACAAUCACCGACACUAAUACUUGAUAAAGUAGUAGCGCUCUUAUUAGACUUAGACAUAUUUCUUCUUGAAUAUAUGGUACCUAAAAAGAAACAAUAACAUAAUGACAACACAUACUCAUGGAAUUUAAAUUCAAACUCAUACAAGCCAAAUUUUAUUUUGUCAAAUUUUCUAAUAAACAUGCUAAGAAAAUUAACACACAAAGAGAGAACAUAAAACAAAAACUAAAAUAUUCAAAUAUGACUCUAUAACCAUAUCAAAAUAGCAUCUCACUUCAUCAAAAAACCAAUUAUUACAUUUCCUUUCAUAGAUAACACAUCUAAAUUAGUAAAAGCCUUCACCUUUUUAUUUGUGCUACUCCACAACAAGUACAUUUAAGGAAUCCAAAUCAAGCAAAAAAUGAUAACAUUAUCCCUACAUAUAAAAAAACCAUAAUUUCUCAUUUUUCCCGUACUUUCUUAGCUACCAAACAAAUAGGUUACUUACAGAAACAACAAAAAAUAAAUUAUAUUACUAAAAACAAUCUCUACCCCCUCAAUCACCUAAACUUAACCAUAAAUUAUCUUCUCUUCACUUCACUAUUGUCAUAACCCAUUUUUGGGUUAUUUCCUAAUUCAUAUUUUUUUCUCUCUUCAAAAAAUACAAAAAAAUAAAAAAUAGUAUCAAAAAAUAUAACAGUGAAAAGAGGAUGCUAGAACACUAAAAAAAUGGUUAAAAAUUGGUUGAGGAGGUUCAAAACUACAAAGGUUAAAAUUUUACGGUAUUUUGUUGAUUGAUGAGAGCCCUGUUGACAAAGAAAAUUCAAUUUGAGGAUGAAAAGUCCAAAAUCAAACAUUUAUGGACUCAAUUAAAUUUUAUUGAAGGUUUAAUUGAAUUUAUGGAGAAUUUGAUUGCAAGAAAAAUUGAUUUUUGGAGUGAAUUUGGGCUUUAAUUGGAAGAAAUUAAAGUUUUGUGGUCAAAUUAUAAUUUUUUAGAGUUAAUUUGGUCAAAUCAGGGGCUUAAUUGCAUAAAUAUUGAAGUUUGAUGGUCAAUUAGAGACUUAAUUGAAGAAAUCAGAAACCAAGGACCAAAAUGAAAAACACGCGUAAAUAGAGGGGCUGUAAUUAAACCGAAUCAGGGGCCAAAUUGAAGAAAUUAGAGUUUAUUGAUCAAUUGAGGGUUAAAUUGCAUAAAUUAAAGACCCAAGACCAAAGUGAAAAUGGCGGCCAACUUCAGGGCCACUGUUUUCUUUUUGGCAGGGAUGCAAUUGCAUUAAUUUUUAAAUCAAAAUUGUAAUUGAGGACUUGAUUGAACAAAUCACAAAUUGAGAACCAAUGUGAACUCUGACACGUUUUUUUUUGCCGCCUUUUCCUUUUAAAUGAAACGGUGUGUUUCUUCUAAAACGGCGUCAUUACAUACACUAUUCAUUAAAAAAGAAGCAAAAAGCUCAAAACGGUGUCGUUUUGAACGACAGUGUAGCCUUUCUUGUUCCCCUGGACGCGCGAGGCAGGGGAAGAAGAAGUCUUUUCUCCCCUGCUUUGCUCGUUCCCUCUUUCUCCGAAACCACCAAAAAGACGCCGACCCAAAACACCCCACUUGCCUAAGUUCUGACCUGUGGCCUACCACGAGGUAAAGAAAAACAGAGGGGAUGCACCACUUGGGCGGUUGUGAGGUCGCUGCACAGUGGUCGCCCCUGCCUCUCUCUCCCCUCUGUUUUACCUAUAAAUACAGAGGGGGAGAGCACAAAAGGAGAGCACGAAAAGGACAGGGGGAAAGACCGAAAGAAAGAAAAAACAAGAAGACCCAAAGAGGAAGAAAGGUUGGAAGAACAAGAGAAGAAAAAAAAGAAAAAAAAGAGAGAAAAACAGGGGAAGACAAGGGGGAAGAAACUGUCCACCGCCUGCAACCACCACCGGCCACCACAGCAUGCCAUCGCGAACCACCAGCAGUGCCACCGCUUCAGGUAACUGGCUCUUCCCCACCGUUUGUUUCUUUGCCGGCGUCGCUUGCAUUUUUGUAUACAGAAUGUUAAUAUUUCACGUUCUGCUGCAAAAUGCAACGUGGGCUGGUCAUUAUGCUGAUGCACAGUAACCAGCCCAUUUGGGCAUGGGCCGAGACAUCAGCCCAGCCCAUAGUAGAUGGGUUGGAUCCGGCCCAGCCCAGAAGGGGGUGGGCCAAGCCCAACCCAGUUUUUUUGGGAAUUUUACUAUUUCCUAUCUUAUUUUUACGUCUUUUUUUAUUAGUAUCGAAAUAUUUUUUUACGUCGUUAAAAAUACAAAUCCGGUAUUAAAAUACCUAGUUUUCGUCAACUUAAAAAAAAAUUGAAAUAAAUGUUUUUAUGCAUACGUCCAAGUGUCUCAAAGCUAAAAAAUCAUAUUGUGUUUUUCAUACACCAAAAAAACAAUGUUAUAGCAUGCAUUUUGGCUUUAAUAACCAGUUUAUUAAAGUCAAGAGAACAUUGACCAAAAUAUAAAAAAAAAAGAAUUUAUUUUGUGUUGUUUUAGUAUUAAGGAUUACGAAUUUAUAUGUAAAACAUAUUCCCGAUAUUAAAAAGGUAUUUUCUUUUGACGACAUAGAACAGUUAGGUUUUUACCCGAUAAGAUAAGGAUCUCCUUACAGAGGAGGACUUUUCUUAAAUCGUAGACAGACCGACAAUUAGAAACCAUAACAAGACUUUAGAUUUUAUCAGACAACAAAACAAUGCAGCUUACCUUAGAUAGCGCGUAGUUGGAGUGCUAAUACCUUCUCUUUACGCAACCAGUCUCCGUACCUGAUCUCCGAGACCAGUUAGGGUUCUUAGUGACCAGAACACUAGGUGGCAACUCUCAUUCUAUUUUUACUGAUAAGAGACAAGAAUUCCUUGUAUCUUCAUAUUUGCCAGAUAGACCUAUAGACCAUUACAUUUUUCUUUGAGUGGGUGGACGAUCGUCGCAACGCUGAACACGUGCGACAACUAUUUAACCAACCAAGAAACCAUUUUUGAUACUUAAACAAACUCUUUUACGAAGAUCUCAAAAAUUCACUAAUCUCUUUUUCUUAGUUAGCUAAAUACUUAAACUAUAAAUUAUAAAUCAUUACCCCACUUUUCCACCAACCAACCAAGAACCCAAAUCAUCAAUAAAAAUAAUCCUCCACUAAACCAAGUAAAAAAAUAAACAUUUAAAACAAUACCUAAAAUUCAAAAAACAAUCUUCCUAUAUUACCAACAUGCAAAAAUUAACAAAACCCAUAAAAACCUAAAUCACAUAAACCAAAUAGCAAAUAAAUUACCUUCAAAUCGGGUAAAAACCAUAACCUAAACUUAGGAUUUAACAAUGCCAAGUCCUAAGUUUAUUAAAUGAAGAAGAAGAAAUCAAACCUCAGAUGGGUAGAAAAGAGGUAUUGUCGACGUCGGAUGUGUGAGUGGGGUAGGGGUAAGAUAGUUACUGUUGUUGUUUUGAUGAUAAUGAAUAAGAAAAAGAAAAAGAAGAAGAAAAAGAAAAAGAAAUUGGAAGAUGAGAGGAACUCUGAGUUUUAAUUCAUUUUAAAAACAUCAAUGAAAAAUCAUUUAGCAAUUUAAAAAUAUUAAAAUACCAAUGUAAUUGUCGACAAAAUAUUUUUAUUUUUUAUUCCGUUUUUGUUCCCAUAAAAAAUUAUUGAAGAAAAUCUUUCAUCGUAAUUUCCAUCAGUAAAUAAUUAUGAAACAUUUUUUGUCAUGUUUUUGUUAUUAGUGCAUGCCCACAUCUAUUUGUUUUUGUUACUAUUCUCCAAUUUUUUAGUGGUGUAUGCUCACGUCUAUGAGCAAGUUGGUUUGUUUUUGCAAGUAUAAAUACUUCAUGAAAAUGUCCGGCAAGGGAGGACACAAAAAAAGAAAUAGAUAGACUCCUACAAGGAGAAAACAUUCUCAUGUGCGGAAAGGUCCAGAAUCCAUCAAGGUUUUCAGCAAGGAAGGAAGAUGAUAAAAACUCUUGCUUAAAAUGAUUCAUGCAUGCAUGUCAUAUAAAAAAGAGAAAAGAAGAGAAAACUCUUUUGAGAGACUACGACCGUGUCUUCAUCACAAAAUUGAAAAUUGAUUAUCAUCUUUAUAAAUUUAAGAACUCGAGGUCAGUCUGUGAAUUUAAUGGAAAUUAAUGCAUGAAAUUAUUGAAAAAGUAUAUAUAUAUAUAUAUAUAUAUAUAUAUAUAUAUAUAUAUAUAUAUAUAUAUAUAUUAAGGCAAGAGACGAUAUACAUGUAAAUACUCUUAUAUACUAUUGUAUAUAGGAAAUAUUGUAGACAUACUCUUGUGUGGUAACCUCCGCCAUUACUAUUGUAUAUUGCCCUACAUAUAUAUAGAAAGGGUUGGCUAACCAUUAAGUUAAGCCUUCUAAUUAUUCUCAACUUGGUAUCAGAGCCUUUUGCCGUCAGAACUCCUUUCUCCCUCCCUCCCUUUGCAGCCGGCCCUCUCUCUCUUUUUCCUCCAUGGAUUCUACAGCUGCCGCCAACUUCCCUCUCUCCACCGGUGGUGCAGCACAGCCGGCCAGCCAUCCCCAAGCUGCUGCCGGUGGUAUCUUUUCUCCCUAACAGCAGCCUCCACUUGCAGAGCAUGUCUCUGAUUCUUCUUCACAAGUCUCUGUCGUUCCUUUGCCUCUCAUGGGAACACACACUCCAGCUAUCGUUCCUUUAUCAAACACCCACCAAGUUGUUUCGUUGAAACUUAUAAACACAAAUUAUCUCUAUUGGCGAAUGCAGAUGAAGCCAUAUCUCCUUGGUCAAGGUGUUUUUCACUUCGUUGACUGCUCCGUGCCGUGUCCUCCAUCUCAUAUUUUUGACAGUUUUGCUGGUUCUUCAUCUACCACCAGCCCUUCUUUUCUUCGUUGGAAGCAACAAGAUCAACUUAUUUUGAGUGCUUCACUCUCCUCUCUCUCUGUGGAUGUGUUGCAUCUCGUGGUAGAUUGUUCUACCUCGCAUUGUGUUUGGCGCACUUUUGAGAAAGUGUUUGCCUCUCCGUCUUAUUCUCGCAUCAUGCAACUCCAUGGCUCCUUUCAAGACCUUCGUCAAAGUGACUCAAAUGCACACCAUAUAUAAAUGUGUGUCAUUCUUCUUAAGAAGUACUUUAAGAUAUUAAUUAUUCACUUUGAAAUUCUUAAAUAACUUGUAAACCUCCAACACCAUGGGCCCGGGGGGUGUUUGGAGGGAGACUUACAAGUAUGGGCUCUAUGACAAUGGAGGAAUGGUGGUGGGAAUGAUAGCGAAAGUAGAGAUAGUGGUGAUGAAGAAGUCGAUAGAGCCAAUAAUACAGAAAUUCCACCGGACCCGUAUGAAUCAGAGCUGUUAUAAUUACACCAUUUAACCUCCACAUGGGGAGAUAGCUAGCUCCUGGAAUUUUUUUGCUACCAACAUAGAUCCUGGAAUUUUUUUGCUACCAACAUAGAAUAAAAUUCCAUUGAACAAUAUUUGGUCAUCCCUGCGCAGAUAUCCAGCUAGAGAGUGGAAAUUAAUGCAUGAAAUUAUUGAAAAAGUAUGUAUAUAUAUAUAUAUAUAUAUAUAUAUAUAUAUAUAUAUAUAUAUAUAUAUAUAUUAAGGCAAGAGACCCUAUACAUGUAAAUACUCUUAUAUACGGAUAGUUAUUAUGUGUAAUACAUUCCAAAUUAUAUUGUACACAACCCUAAAGGUAUACUUCAACAAUCUGCUGCCGCUGCAUCAGCACUUCGGUCUUCUUUCUCCCCUGUGGCGCAAUCAGUUAUCUAUGGCGUAUCCACUACUGCUGCCAUCAUACCUAUUCUUAAAACACACCAGGUAGUCUCUUUAAAACUCUCCAACACCAAUUUUAUGUAUUGGAGGAUGCAGAUGAAACCGUUUUUUUAGGCCAAAGCGUGUAUUCCUUCGUUGAUGGCACAUCAUUAUGUCCUCCUUCACAUAUGGCAUCUACUGCGACAUCAGCACUCUCUGUCAACCUUGCAUAUUUGUCAUGGAAGCAGCAAGAUCACUUAAUCAUGAGUGCCCUCCUAUCUUCUGUCUCGGUGGAAGUUCUGCACUUAGUUGUGGAUUCUAACACCUCUCAUGACAUUUGGACAACGCUGGAAACAACUCUUGCCUCUCCUUCAAAUUCUCGGAUUAUGCAACUUCACGACCCAUUCCAAGAUUUACAACAGACUGAUGAUUCUGCCAGCAUCUACUUGCAGAAGGCAAAGAUCUUAUUUGAUGAACUUGCUACAUGUCAUGUGCACCAUUAAAACCCAAUGUUUCAAGCAUUUGACUUGUAAUCAAACGGCUAUCAAUAUUCCAUCCUUUAGCAUACUUGAGGGUAUACCACUAGUUGCCCGCAAGAUCUGUGUGAAGACUCCGAGACAUAGUGAAGAGGAUAUUGUUUUGUCACUGUGUAAUAUAAUCUGCCUCAUUUCUUGGCCAUUGUUAUUAGCAUGCUAGUUUUAUUUCGAAGAAAGCAAGCUCUGCUUCCUAGUAAAAGUUUUUCUUUAUAGUUUGAAUAAACCUCCAUUGCUAGGUUAAAGUGAACCAAACCAGCAGAAACGAACUAAGUGAUUACAUUGAAAAGCCCGUAGAUUGCAAUGUUUUUUUUCUAGAAAUGCUAGAGAGCUUCCCAACUCUCUUUCUUUUUUCUUUUCAUUUUUGUCUUUUUUAAAAUAAAAAAAUUCCAUCCUGAAACGUUUUUUAUUGAAUUAUUUUUUAUGACUAAAUUCUAUGAGAUAAAGUUUUAAAAAGUUGCGGAAAGAUAAAAUUAAAAGAGAAAGGAUAAUAAUGUAAAACAUACAAAAAAUACGUGGUUAGUCUCAAAGUUUUUAGAAUUUUGAUUUUGAUCCAUAGAUUCAUUUUUUUAUUAGAUUUGACAUCUAAGAGAGAACAUUAUCGAAAAUGGCAAAUGAGAGAAAAAGUUGUCAAUUGACCAUAUUCUAACAACAAAAAAGCACAAUCUUGGUAUUAACGGUUUCAUUCAAUAGAAAGAUUUUCAUUGAAGUGUUUUUUCACCUUAAUUUAUCUUUUCAAAAAAAAUAGAUCAAGGUUGUGAGAUGAUUUUUUACCAUUUUGAUUUUAUGUUUUUAAAAGUGCUUUGCGUUGAUAGAUAGUUUAUUGAUAUUAUAAGGAUGUUUAUUAGGUGUUUUCAAAUGAAAAUAGGUUGGAAAAAUAAAUUAUUGAGUCGAAAAAACCCUAACUAGAUAUGAUUGGAAACUAAGCAAGUAGAUAAUGCGCAUUGUCUACUUUUAUUUUAUUUUUUUUAAAUGGGCCAGGCAUUGGGCCACAUAGACCCAACCACCUAGCCUUUGUAUAUUUGAUUAUACUUUUUUUUUCUAAUUAAAUUUUAUGAAAAUAAAUAAAUUCAAAAUAUCAUUUUCAAGAAUAAGAUUAUAGUUGUUUUUUAUAAAAUUAACAAGCACUUUUUUUUACAACCCUUUGUGACUUGUAUAUAUUUUUUUUCUUAAAUUUUGAUUUUGGGAUUUUUUGCGCAAUUGUUUUUUAUUAUCACAUGAUCGCAAAAAAAAACAUAGUCAAAAUGUUUUUGAUGUAUUAUUUUUAUAUUUUUGUAAUACAUUCGAGACCUAAUAAUGAAACCAUCGAUUAUUGUUUUAUUAGAUUUUUCUUUUACGACCCUAAUAAUUUUUUGCUUCAUAAAAUAACAUUUUAAUAAAUACUUUUCCAAAAAAGAAAUUGAAUUAAUAAAAUAAAUAGGUUUUAAUUAAAAGGAUGUUGUUUUUAUCAUUAUUUUGAAUCCCUUAUAGCCUAUUAGAUAUUUAUUUUAAUGGCCUUCGGAUUUUAUUAAAUGAAGUAUAUUGCUUAAAAAGCUAUGUUUUUUUGUUGAAAAAAAUAGAUUAGUAAAAAAAUGAAUUAUAUUAGAAAAAUAUUUAUUUCAAUAAAAUUUAAAUUAUUUUAUUUUUUUAUAAAAAAAUCAUUACAUAUAAUGACUUAAAAAAAAUAUAAAUUGUUUUAUAUGGCACGAGAUUUAAUAUAUUAAUCUGUAUUUAUUUCUCAGUUUUCCAAUUUAAUUUUUAAUAUUUAGUUAUAUAUAAAUUAUUUUUUAAAUUAAUUAAUUAAAUGCAUGUAUUAAAUUCUUACACGUAACAAAUUUUCUUUAAACUAAAAAAGCUCAAAUUAUAAAAUAAAUUUUGAGCCGAGGCGAGCAAAUUUGGCCGGUGAAUUACUAUAUAACAAUUUAACUUCAUACAAUGUCGUGCUUCAAAAAUUCCAGAUGUCAAGUCCAAGAACGUUCUGAUUAUUGUCUGAAAAAUCAAAAUCACUCCCUCUUCUUGCAACAACAUAUUGACCCCACCUUAAUAUUUUCUUUGGAGGGCAGCCAGGCUUUCUCAGUGUUCCAUUUAUCUUUUCUGUGAUGUAAAUUCUCCAUGCACCAUUUUUAUCAAAUUCCUACAAUACCCAUGUCGGUUUUGUAGCAUAAUGUUCCACAUCAAAUUCAUGGUUAAUAUAUUUUAGUUAUAGUUUUGUUUUGUAAACUAAUUUUUAUUUAAAAAGUAUUAAAUUAAUGUUUUUUAAUAUUUUUUAUAGUGUUAAAUCAAAAAUUAAAACAUCUGAAGAUGGGCAGAUCUGAUAUCUCUCAUUGGACAAAGAAACAGGUACACACAUAUCUAUGCAUUUAUAUAAUCUUCAAUCAGAGCAAACUAAAGAGUUCUUUAUUCGUUCAUUGAUUGAAUGGGAUGAAUGUAUCAUAUAUUCCUUGCUUAAUGUUCAAGAUUUGCAAUCUUAUUAAAUCACUUUUUUCUUAAUUAUCAGGUUGUGGAUUUCAAACCAAGCAUAAAUAUAGAUUUGGGUGGUUUAGCAUGAAGCUGAAAUUGGUUGGAGGUGACUCUGCAGGUGUUGUGACAUGACAGCUUAUUAUGGAAGUCUUUCUUCUACCGCCCCAUACGCUCAAAAUGCCUUAAAGAUUCAUGGCUGUGAAGCUUAAUCAAAGACUUCAUAAAUAUUUUAACUAUUUUUUUGUACUUAAUUCUAGCUUGACAGCAAGUACAGGAAAUUAUCAGGGACGGAGGCUAAAGUGGAUUCAUCUGUUUUUUUGCAGAUGUGUACAGAGAAUGGGGCAGGGCCAACAAGAGAUGAGCUGGACUUUGAGUUCUUGGGGAAUAGAACUGGAGAACCCUAUUUGAUUCAAACAAAUAUAUACAAGAAUGGUACUGGUAACCGUGAAAGGAGGCACAUGCUUUGGUUCGACCCUACCGAGGAGUUCCACACCUAUUCCAUUCUCUGGAACAAUCUACAGAUAGUGUAAGUCCUUCGAUUCUAUGCUACAGCUAGAUCAAGGCACCUGAUGAUUCAAGUUUUCAUGCUGCAAUCUUGCACAAAAGCAAAAGCAAAAAAGAAAAUGGCAAAAACAGUAGAUUAAAGGGCUGGUUGCGUCCCGGUGUGUUUGGUAACGUAGAUGUUUUUCCAUUGAAAAUGCAUAUUACAAUUAUGUUUUUAUAUUAACACAUUAAAAAACACUUAAAAACAUCAAUUUAAUAUCUCUGAGACGAAAAGCAAUAGCUACUGCAGGAAGAGAUAAACAUUGUGGGAACAGUCAAUAAAUAAGCCUCAGAGAUUUGCUUGCAACUUGGGUUCGAUGGACAGUGACACUGACUUGGAUUUUUCAUACGCUAAGCAGGUUUUUUGUUGAUAAAGUAGAGCAAUAAGGGUGCCCAAGAACAAUGGAGAACCAAAUAAUUUCUUCCCCAAUGAGAAGCCCAUGUACCUAUUUUCAAGUAUCUGGAACGCCGAUGAUUGGGCUACUAGAGGAGGGCUAGAGAAGACAGACUGGAAAAAGGCCCCAUUUGUGUCCUCUUACAAGGACUUCACUGUUGAAGCUUGUCAAUGGGAAGAUCCAUACCCUGCCUGUGUAUCAACAACGACUAAAUACUGGUGGGAUCAAUACGAUGCUUGGCAUCUCUCAGAUGAACAGAAAAUGGACUGUGCCUGGGUCCAAAGAAACCUUGUGAUCUAUGAUUAUUGCAAAGACACUGAAAGAUUCCCAGCGCUGCCAGUGGAGUGCAAAUUGAGCCCAUGGGAUUGAUGGGCAAGUGAUGAGUUAAUUGUUAUUCUUCAGCAUCAUAUAUUUUUUCUAUUUCCUUUUUGUCUUUUUCUUGGUUACCAUUUUGAGAUGGGUAUAAAUCACAAUGUAUUUUUCUGCCAGCUAUUCUAUUUCACUAUUGCACAUCUAUUUAAUUUAUUCAAUUAUUUAUAUUCAAUUCAAAUAUAAAUUCCUGUACUUUGUCCAUCCUGUAAAGUGUUUUUCUCUAUCUUCUUAAACUCCAAUAAAAAUAUAAUCAAUGAAAAACACUUCGUAGAAUAACAGUUUUAUUUUUAUUUUGGGUAGAAUAUAUUUUUUAAAAGUUAUAAGAUUUUAAAAAUAUUUUGUUAUAUAUGUUGAUUAUAUUAAAUUUCACCUAUAUAUAUUUUGUUUUGAAUUAUUUAUUUAGUUAUUAUUUUUUCAAUUUUGUCUCUUAAAAUUUGAUUUAACUUGAUUUUUAUAUUAUCUUGGGUUCUUAUUUUUUUUUAUUGUUAUUUGUUUUUCUUCUAUCCUUUUCUUAAUUGAAUUUUUUUUAUCUUGUUAUUGGUUUCUAUUCUUUUGAUAUUUACUCGUCUUUUAAUUUUUUUUUCUGUCAGAUUUGGUCCUUAUUUUUUUAUGACUAUUUUUUUAUUUUAGAUAAUUUAUGAAAUUAGAAUUUUUUUUAAUUUCAUCCUCCAAAUUUUUCAUCAAUUAAUUUUGAUCCCUAUUCUUUAAUAAACUUGAAAAAUAUUUAAAAAUAUUAAUAAGUUAUUUUCUAACUUAUUUUUCAUGGCAUAGCUAAAUACUAUAAAAUAUUUUCCAACUUAUUUUUCAUGGUAUUGUCAAAUAUAAAAAAAUAAUCUACUUUUUAAAAAUUUACUUUCCAUGAAAAAUAUUUUUUUUAAAAAAAAAACACUUUCCGAUAGAUAAAUUAGGCAAGUAGAAGGAUUUACAGUAUAUCGUUUUUUGGCAACCCACUAAUAGUUCUUGUAUCUUGAUUUUCUAUUUUUAUAUUUUAUUUUUAAAAAGUGUUCAAUAUUAUUUCAAUGUAAAGCCACUUAGACGAAAAGGGUACAAUGUAAGAAUAAAUAGCAUAAUAAAGUAGUUGACGUAAAAUAAAUAAAAAUAAUAUAUCCUUCUUUUAAUUAAAAAAAAAAAUCAUUCUCAUUUGUUAUUUUUAUUCUCACCUUCCACUAUGAAAAUAAAAUUAGAUUUAAUUUUUAUUUUCAUUUCGAUUUUGUUCUUUUAACCAAAUAGGCUCUAAGUUUUAUCAAUUUCUAAAAGAAACAUUCUUGGACUAACCGACUAUGAAUUUGGCUUAAUCAUCAAAACAUGAGGGCUACCUCAAUCGUUUGGUGGUGAGAUUUAUACAGUAUGCAGUCGUGCCUACACAAUUAUUCUUAAAAAUGAUGCAACUUACAAGUCCUUUUUCAAUUCUCUCAAAAGAGAAAAGGAAUACUAUAUUUUUUUUUAUAUAGUUGACGAUUAUAUUAUUUGAUGGCCUAUCAAAACAUACCUUCUAGAUUUUUUAAAUUGUUUUUUCCAAUUUUUUUCAAGUUAUUAUACUAUCUACAUUGGUCGGCGCUUCAUUUGACCAUUCGCUAAUGAUCAUCCGGUGGCUUCUCUCUAUAUAUAUACAUAUAAAAUUGGAAAAAAUAUUGCUUAAAUAUAUAAUUUAGGCCGCCUCUGUAAGCUUUAAACUUGUAGAUAUGGGGGGAUCAUGAGUUUGACUUUUAUGUUUUCCAAUCUCCGUUUCUUAAAAUCUUUUUAAUUCCAUUAUUGAUUUUUGAAAGACCCAGUUUUUUGUUUAACUAUAUAAAUACAAAACAACUCAAGUAAACCAUCUGAAGAAAUUCCCGUCAGUUUGGAAUUGUUCGAGUCGUAAAUAUAUAGUUAUCUUCCAUGAAAUUGAUGUGCUAGGAUUUUCCAAAAUGUUGGAGAGCAUACAUAGUCAAAUAGAAUUUUAUAUGGUUUCAAGGGUGAUUUAUUUGACGAGGACAUAAAUUAUUUAAUUUAAACAAAUAAUGACCAAGAACAGAAUAUGAAGAAUUAAUUAGCACUGGUCAUCGACACAUAUAUGUGAUCCUUUCACACCACAUAACCUUCAAUUUCAUGCUAUAAAUACUACCUCUCCUCCUCUUGUUUCAGCAUCACAAAAACAUCUUCCAAAUCAACAAAAUCUCUCCCCCCCUUCUCAGUCUUUUAGAAUCCCAAGUUAAAAUGGGUGUCAUCACUUUGGAAAACGAGUUUGCUGUUGCUGUCGCCCCGGCCAAGCUUUUCAAGGCAUACUGCCUUGAGACCGACACUCUUUUGCCUAAAAUUCUACCAGAGCACAUUAAGAGCUCUGAGAUAAUUGAAGGAAAUGGAGGGCCUGGAGCCAUCAGGAAGAUCACUUUUGCUGAAGGUUAGUAUAUUAUAUGUUGCAAUUACUUUUAAUUAUAUUAACUAUAUUGAAAUCAGCAUAACACUCGCUAUAUCUACCGCACAAAGAAGUAACAAAUUGAUUUUGCACUUGCAGGAAAAGAUCUCAGUUAUGCCAAGCAGAAGAUUGAGGCAAUUGACGAAGAGAACUUGACCUACAGCUUCAGCUUGAUUGAAGCCAAUGUUUGGAAGGAUGCAGUUGAAAAGGUGACUUAUGAGCACAAGUUCGUGGCAACUCCUGAGGGAGGUUCCAUUUGCAAGAGAACCAGCACAUAUUACAUCAAGGGUGAUGCUGAGAUCAACAAAGGCCAAAUCAAGGACGUGUAUGGCAAAAAGACCGCAGGCUUGUUGAAGGCUGUUGAAGCCUACUUCUUGGCAAAUCCAGAUGCCUAAAUAUGAAAAUUCCCAUGUGUGUGUGUGUGGCCUUUUUCUUGGUUGUCUUUGGCAGUGUGGUUAUUGCCUUUUCUUCUUCCUUUGGGUAAAUUUUCCAUCCUUGUUACUGGCAAAAAAAAAUUGAGAGUACAGAAGUAUAUCUUCUAUUACUUUAAUAGUAUUUGAUUAUGUGGUCAUUUGGUUAAUUGUAUUGAAGCAGUUCUUUUCAAUAGUUGAUGUUAUUGGUAUUGUUUUCAAAAUACAUAAUAAAAAUCACCAUGUCAUCAAGUGUUUACUUUGAAUCGAUGUAUCGAAGGUUUUCUUUAUACAUAAUCUGUUUUCUUAAAGAGCACUUGAAUUUAUGGACCUUUCCCUCCUUCCUCAUUUUUUUUUUCAAAUGAUAAUAUAUUGAAGAGCAAAAACAUUUGUCAUGCUGGUUAUGCACGCAUAAACUAUCCUUUUGGAAAGAUUUUAUGUUUGUAAAAUCCAACGAAUAGAAUGUAUGCACGUAAGAAAAUAAUUUAUAUGACCAGGGGGUGGUUAAAUGAUUUUCUUAUUCAAACUUCACUUUCUCUUUUAUUUUUUUUAUGUUAUUUUCACAUCAAUAAUAAUAAUAAUAAUAAUAAUAAUUAUUAUUAUUAUUAUUAUUAUUAUUCUUUUUUAAUAAAAAAAAUAAUAAUCUUAACACUUCCUCUCUAAGUUGGUGCAUAAAUAUCACAUAUGCCUAACUUGUUUAAAGUUGAGAAUAAUUAGCAGGCUUAAUCUAUUGGUUAGCCAACCCUUUUUAUAUAUAUAUAUAUGUAGGGCAAUAUACAAUAGUAAUGGUGGAGGUUACAACACAGGAGUAUAACUACAAUAUUUCCUAUACAGUAUGCCUACAAUAUUUCCUAUAUAGAUGCAUUAAUAUGCCCCCUCAAAUUGAGGGUGAAGGAUCAGCCCGAAACUUGAAAUGAAAAGUUGUAAAAAAAAUAGUAGGAAGUGGCUUAGUAAAGACAUCUGCAAGUUUAUCCUGAAAGGAAAUAAAAUGAAUCUAGAUCUCCUUCUUCACAACUCUAUCUCGGACAAAACAUGAGGGCUACCUCAAUCGUUUGCUGGUGAGAUUUCAAGUUAGAAUUUGGCUUCAUGAGUAACCGACUACAUCUGAUCCGAUCCAUUGACUUGGAUUACUGAGAUUUUGGAUGGUGAGAUAAUACACACACACACACACACUUCAGUUGAAUGUCUAAACUUAGAGUCACAAUAUUGUUAAGGUUAUUGAUAAGAAAAAUCCUAUUCAGGAAGUUUUUCAGAUAAAACUUCCUUAUGAUCUGCAGUCAAUCCUGCAUAAUAUGGUGCUAUAAUUCCUUAAGAAUAUCUGUUAUGAUUAUGUACAACUAUAAACUAAAUUAGCUCCACAUUUAUCUUCUUCUUUUACUCUUUUAUAAUGUACUCCUAUAUAUAAAUACAAACUAAUGUACAAUGUUUAAGUUGAUCAGAUAAGAAUCAUACAAAAACAUUCUUCUCCUAACUUGGCAUCAGAGUCAUUAUAGCUCACAGAUACCUUUUCUUUGAUUCUGCUUCCACAUAAUGUCUUCUUUAUUACCUUUACAUGAUAUCAACAACCCUCUCAAUCUUUCUCAUACCUCACCUCUAUCAUCCUUUAAACUUGAUGGAUCAAAUUAUCUAAUCUGCUAGUCCCAAUUUCUAUCAUUUCUAAACAGUAAUGAUCUUCUAGUGUUCGUUGAAGGUUUUGACCCUGUCACUGGGAAAACCAAUGCUGAUAAUUCACCCAAUCCCUCUUAUACAACAUGGUAUAAGAAAGAACAAGAUCUAUUGGGUAUUAUAUUAUCAUCUCUUAGUCUAAAUUUUGUUAGAAUAGUGUAUGGUUUAACCACAUCCAAACAAGUCUAGACUGCUCUUAAGACUAGAUUUUCUAAUCAGUCACAAUCUCAUAAUCUAUGUUUGGAUUUGUCUUUUAUGUUGUGAUCCGGUCUUAUGAUCAUUAUCACAAGUUUUAAAGGUUGAGUCAGGUUGGCUUCGGUCAUUUUUAUUUUUUUUAUUUUUAAUUUCAUCUAUCAUCAUUAGAUUCGUUGGUAAUUUGUAUUUUUUUUUUUUUUUUGCCUUUUCUUUCUAUAAAGUUAUUCUAAUAUCAUGUUCUAAGUUAUGGAUUUAGCAAGUUUACUGGGUUUGACUUGGUCUUUUUUUUCAUUGCUUUUUAAGUUUUUUUUAAUCUCGAGUCAAUGACCAGAAUCUUAAAUAUUUUUUUAAAAAUGUUUGCGUCAUCUUGAUGUUUUUUUCUACAAUGAAAAACAAAUAAAUAGACUCGUGGUAUAGCGCUGGACACCUAUCUAGUAAUAAUCUAAAAAUUAAUAAUAUGAUAAUCUAAAACUGAUAAUAUGAAAUGAAGUGUUAGUGAAAAUGAUACACUCAUAUGCGAAAACAUACAAAUACAUUUUGAUCUUAAAUAGACAAGAAAUUUAACCAUAGUCUUAUUAUUACAAUUUGAUCCUUUGGUUUUAAAAAUAUACAAGCACAUCAAUAUUUACUUAAAUUGAAAAUGGGACAUCACUAAUUCUAUUAUAAAAUAGGACAUUAAGAACAUAUUAUUAUAAUUCUUUUUAUUAUUUUCCAUAUAAAAUAAAUGAGAUCAUAAAUGGAUGGUAAAUUGUCAUUUUUAAAAUAUUAAUAUUUAAAAAAAAUAUUAUAAAAAAUGGAUGAAACAAUUAAUUGAGAAUUUUCAAAAACUUUAUAACACAACAAAAUUAUUAGGCAUUUAAUUGAUAUUCAGGAUAUAAUUUGAAAACUAAUUUAAGUUAAAUCUUUUAUUUAUUUAUUUAUUAUGCAAUCGUGCCUGCACAAUUAUUCUUAAAAAUGAUGCAACUUAUAAGUCCCUUUUCAAUUCCCUCAAAAGAGAAAAGGAAUACUAUAUAUGUUAUUAUUUGAUGGCCUAUUAAAACAUACCUUCAAAAUCAUCCAGCAGCCGUUCUUCAUAGCAGAGAUCUUCAUCUUUUUCCUCUGUUACUUCUCAUCUAUUAUAUCCACCAGCAGCCGUCCUUCUUAGCAGAGAUCUGCAUCUUCUUCCUCUGUUACCUCAUAUCUGCAAUAUCUGGAGGUCCUCUUCCUCCUUAAAACCAAACUGCAACCUCUUCUACCUUGCAACAUGGACAAUCAAGAACUUCAACAAUCUGUUGCUGCUGCAUCAGCACUACAGUCUUCUUUCUCGCCUGUGGCGCAACAGUUAUCUAUGGCGUAUCCACUACUGCUGCCAUCAUACCUAUUCCUAACACACACCAGGUAGUCUCUUUAAAACUCUCCAACACCAACUUUUUGUAUUGGAGGAUGCAGAUGAAACCGUUUCUUUUAGGCCAAAACGUGUAUUCCUUUGUUGAUGGCACAUCAUUAUAUCGUCCUUCACAUCUGGCAUCUGCUGCGACAUAUGCACUUUCUGUCAAAUUUGCAUAUUUGUCAUGGAAGUAGCAAGAUCACUUAAUCAUGAGUGCCCUCCUAUCUUCUCUCUCGGUGGAAGUUUUGCACUUAGUUGUGGAUUCUAACACCUCCCAUGACAUUUGGACAACGCUGGAAACAACUCCUGCCUCUCUUUCAAAUUCUCAAAUUAUGCAACUUCACAGCUCAUUCCAAGAUUUACAACAGGCUGAUGAUUCUGCCAGCAUUUACUUGUAGAAGGCAAAGACCUUGUUUGAUGAACUUGCUGCAGCUAGCAGACCAAUCUCCUUGGCCAAAUUCAACUUGUAUGUGUUUCGAAGGUUACGCAGUGAGUUUAAGGAUCUUGUCAUCAGCUUGUCCACUAAGGAUGUUACCAUCUCCUAUACUGAUCUUCAUAGCAAUCUUCUUACACAUGAGUUUCUUCACAAAGCCUCUCUCCAACCAUCUGUAACAUCUCCUCUGUUACCAACUCCAACGCAGCAGUCAGCUAUGUUCUUUGUGCAACAUCAAUCUGGCUUUAGUACUAGCAAACAAGGUUGGUUUUGUGGGGGCUGGAGACCUAACAAUCAACAAUGUGGCCAACAUGGAAACCAGUUCUCCUCUGGUUCUUCCCAACAUGGAAACCGGUUCUCCUCUGGUUCUUCCUCACGGAUAACAAGCAGCUUUAGGCAGCAAGGAAAUCGUUUUGGUGGUUAUAAUCGCAAUACUACCCAACAGUAUUCUCAAUUGGCUACUCAUCUUACGCAAGCAAAUGGUAAUCUCGCAUUUAAUAAUGUAUCUACCACUACUCCUAUUACUUGGUUUCCUGAUACAGGUGCAAAUCAUCAAGUCACGCCGGACCUUGUAAGUAUGACGAGUUCAGAACAUUACCUUGGAAAUGAUCAUCUGCAUAUUGGUGAUGGUAAGGGCCUUGUUAUUUCAAAUAUUUCCCACUCUAAAAUUCGUUCACCCAAAUGCACGUUUACUUUAUCUAAUAUUCUACAUGUUCCUGCCAUUAAAAAACCUCUGCUAUCUGUUCAAAAAUUUUAUCUUGAGAAUAACGUCUUUUUUGAAUUUCAUUCCUCUCUAUUUUAUGUUAAGGGGGAGUAGAGAUGGUCUAUAUGUUUUGUCUGAGUCGUCCGCAACGUUGUUGCCUCAAGUUUUCUCAUCUACUUGUCUCUCUACUUUCGCUGAUGCCUGGCAUCGUCGCCUUGGGCAUCCCAAUCCACGUAUUCUACAUUUUUUGGUGAAAAAAAAGUGUCAUGUACAUCAACUCAGUUUACUUUUAAUUGUUGUCGCACGUCAUUAAAUCCGCACGGCAUCGGCUGGCGAUUUUUCUUUAUGCGUUUUGCUUUGAUUGGUUCGUUGGAGUCGCCACCUAGUAAUUUAUUGAGGGCUACUAGGAAACCUGAUGUACUGGUCUUGUUAGAGAUUCACGGGAAAGGGACUGGUUGUGGUUAGGGAAGGUAUUAGCACCCCUAACGCACCCUACCUGAGGUAAGCUGCUUCGUGGACUUGAUGUGUUUUUAAAAAUAAAAUUUUAGCCCAAUUCUAAGGCUUUGAUAAAUCAGUUAUUAGUUCCCAAAAUAUAUGUAGAUACAUGUUCUACAUUUUCAUGGAAAAUACAACAUGAUUUUAUCUGUCCUUUAGAUAUUUGUGCAUAUAAAUUAAAAUAUUAAAUUCAUUUUUUUUUAUUCAAUAACAUACAUAAAAAACAAAUACACAAACACACACACAUCUCUUUUUCUAUUAUUAUUUUCUCUUUCUUUUCUUUUCUUUUUGUACAUCACAUUACAAAAUUAUAAAAAAUUUAAACACUAAACAAAAAUUACAUUACAUAAUUUAAAAAUUACAAAAUAGUCCCUAAACUCCAGAAAUUGCAGAGGGACACUUCUGGAACUGCCUGAACAGUUCUGGAACAAUGGCGGCGCGUGGCUUCACGCGCCGCCGCUGACAGUGCUGGAAAUGGGCGGAUCUGCCCUGCUUUCUCCUUUUCUCUUCUCUGCCGAUGGUGACCUGCAAAAUCAACCAAAAACGCAACACAGGCAGUUGAUUUUAGUUGUUUUUCUUUGUUGUUUUUUAGAUCUGCUCUCGGGUUCUUCUCCCGGAUCUGUCCCGUUCGGGUCUGCUGCUAUGGAUUUCAUCUCCUUCUCCUCUGCUUCGGGCGGCGCUGCUGGCUGAUGGUGGAUCUGUGGCUGGGCAUGGAGAUCGGAGGAGAAGCUGUCGUGGCCGGCUGUUGUGGGGAGGAGCUGCUGCUGUUGCUCGUGGGUCUCUCUUUGAUUUACAUCUGCUCCUUCUGCCGAUGGCAGGACUGGUGGAGGCGGAUCGCGGUGGACGCGGGCGGAUCCGCCGGUGCCUGAGGGCUUCGGUGUGGAGCAGAAGGGAGGCGUUUCCUUGUGGAGCUGGAUCCGUGGGCCACUGGCGGUGCGAUUCUGCCGGCGUUCAGCGAGCUGGCCGCUAGUUCAGGAGGAAAGAGCUGAGGGAGGCCGCGGCUGAGGAAGAGAAUGGGGGUUCUCUUGUGGGUCUUGCUGCUGUCGUCUGCUGGCUGCUGGAGCUGAGUCGGCCAAGAGAGGGAAAAAUGGUGGUUGGCCGAGAGAGCAAGAAGAAGAAGGAAGGUGCUGGGAGCAGGAAGGAAAAGGAGAGCUGCAGUGGCUUGGGAGGUGAAGAAGAUGGUGGAACCGGCUGAAAAGGAAAACCAAAAACGUGGGGGGCCGGCCAGACGGCGGCUUGGAGAAGAGAUAGAUUUAGGGUUUUGUUUUUGUGUUGUCUCUCCCCUCAAAUAUCAAAAUUUCCCCCCUUUUAUGUGUGUUGAAGGCUGCUAUAUAUAGGCAAAUUAAUGUUUGGGCCUCAAAAUUAGUCUUCAACUUUCUCUUUUUUUGUAAAUUCUGAUUUUUCUUAUUUUUUUGUAUUUUUUGAAAACGAGCAAUAUCAACGUCAACUUAAAUGAGAAAAAUCAAUGAUUUUAAAAAUAACACGUGAAAAGUCGAACGCGUUCCAAAAAACCUAUGAAAACUUAAAUUCUUUUUUUAGACGACGUUAAAAAUGCUAAAAACGAUGCACACAUAUUAAAAACAUAUUUUUUUGGAUUUUCGUUGUUUUUCGCUAUUUUUGAAUUUUCCGAAGAUUUUAUCAAAAAGGUAGGUCAAAAAUUGGGUAACAACAAUUGUGUUGAGUGCCCUCUGGGCAAGUCGUCUCGUCUGACUCUAAAAACUACGGGUCAUCAAACUCGAGCUCCUCUUAACUUGAUUUUUAGUGAUGAUUGGGGUUCAUCCCCUAUGUUGUCAUCUGAUGGUUUUUGCUAUUUUGUUAUUUUUUUGGAUGCCCAUACGAAGUUUAUAUGGUUUUAUCCUUUGGUUGCUAAGUCUGAUGUUUUUCAAAUUUUUCAUCAAUUUCAGGCGCUUGUGGAGCGCCAAUUCUCCUUAAAAUUUAACUUUGUUCAAAUCGAUUAGGGUGGUGAAUAUCGAAAACUAAAUACAUAUUUUAAAAUGAUUGGUAUUCAUCAUCGUGUGAUCUGCCCGCACACUCAUGAACAAAAUGGCAUGGUUUAACGUCGUCAUAAACAUAUUGUUGAAACUGAGCUUACUCUUCUUGGGUAGUGCCACGCUUCCCUUAAAUAUUGGAGUUAUGCUUUUGAAAGCUCUGUUCAUUUGAUUAAUCGCAUGCCAACUCCAGUUUUUAAUCAUAAGACACCUUUUGAAUGUCUUCUAAAAUCGAUUCCUGAUUAUGCGUUUCUUCGUACCUUUGUGUAAACCCCGGGGGAAAAAAAUAAAUAAAAGUGAAGAAAUUCAUGCAUAUGGUUAAAUAAAAACAGGAAUUCAGAAAUUUUUUAAUAUAAAUUUCCGAGUGAAAUAAUUCGAGACAUUAUAAUAAACCCGGUACUGUUGAGGGUUGGAUUUAAUUGAAGAGAAUAACACACUUAAAGGAAAAGGGGGCCUAAAUGCAAAUAAGGGAAAAUAUAGAGUAUAAGUACUCUCUCCUCACCAAAAAUUUAGAGGAACCAUAAGGAGAGAAAAUAAGGAGUUUUAUACCCAUUCUUGCGAAAUCAAGAGAGAAACACUAAAAUUUCAACAACCCAUCCAACAUUAAGGGUUUAUAGAUGGGAUAAACACUUGAGAGCAAGGGAUUACCAAGAAAUUGAACAAGAAGAAAAGAAAGGAGGGAGUUAAAAAUCUUCAACUGGUUGAAGAUCAAAAUCUUAAUUCGUACUGGGUAAAGUGUUCUAAACAUGAUCUUAAAAAUUCAUUUUAAAUUCGAUAAUGAAUUGAUGUCUUGAUAUUGAAUCAUAGGUUAGGGUUCUUAGACAUGAAUUGGGGAAAAAGUACUUAUUGUUAAGAUUAAGUUAAUUCAUGUGUGUGGUAUGUAGUUUAUGAAAGUAUUGUGUGAAGGGGAGGGGGAGACGAAUCUGGACAGACUUGUCUCCUGACUUUCAGUGAGAUUUCAGGUAGGAGGAUGAGGGAAUUAGGAUUGGAUUCCUUCAUAGAAAUUGUAGAUUUGAAUGAUAGCUAACCAAGGAAACUGGUCUUCCUCAAUUUAGAGAUGUAGAACUCCAGUUAUGGGUUAUCAACCGAGACUGAGUUGUGACUGAUUAUGUAGGGCAGUAGGACUGAUUAGUUGAUGAGCAGUUUUGACUAUCUUGGAGGAAGAACUGGGUUCUCCUUUCUUCAGAGAACUAGUAGUCUCGUGUCUUAACUUUCUAACGAGAUCAAUCUCACUUAAAAUGGAGUUUUAAAACUUUAGAUAUAGUUAAAAAUCUGAUGAGCGUUCAGACAGUAACAGUUCAAAUGUCUAGACAGUAACAGUUGGACAGUAACAGUUCAAAUGUCUGGACAGUAACAGUUCAAAUUUAAACAGUAACGGUUGGACAGUAACAAUUCAAUGUGUAGACAGUAACAGUUCAAAUGUCUAGACAAUAACAGUUCAAAGUUAGACAGUAACAGUUGGACAGUAACAGUUCAAUGUGUAGACAGUAACAGUUCAAAUGUCUAGACAGUAACAGUUCAAUGUGCAGACAGUAACAGUUCAAAUAUCUAGACAGUAAAAAAUUAUAGUUUGCAAUUCAAGCAUUUGUGCAGGAGGAUAAAUAGGCAAUACAAACAAAACAUGUGAAAGUAUGCCACAUUCACCGACGUCACUACCGACGGAUAAACUUCUAUCGGUAUCUUACAGAGAGUUGCAAAAUAUUUACUGUUUUUUACCACAUUCACCGACGUCACUACCGACGGAUAAACGUCCAUCAGUAUCUUACAGAGAGUGGCAAAAUAUUUACUGCAUUUGCCACAAUCACUAACGGACAUACCGACGUCAUCACCGAUGUACGUUGCAAAUUCCAAUGCGCGCAACUGUCAGAGUGCCAGGUCGGUCAGUCCGUUUACCGACGGACUCACCGACGGAUUUUGCAAUUCUAAUGUGCGCGUGCUCUAACACCUCGAUAUCAACAUAAUUGCCAAAGGAAAUUGAAAAUUCUGGAGGGAUUUCCACAAAUUUUGGUGAGAAAUUCAAAAUAUACCGACGGAAAUUACCGACUAAAUUUAAUGCCACCGCCAAAAAAAAUAUUAUUUUAAGUUCCGUCGGUAAAAUUGCAGUAUAAAACCGACCCCCCCUCUCAUUCAUCUUCUAUUCUCCUAUGCUUCCUCAACAGUUUUGUUAUUGUUUUGAUUGAUUUCAACAUAUUAAAAGGUAUGAUUCUCCUUUCUUUAUCUAUGUAUUUGUUUACUUUUUUAUUUUACUUAUGAUUAUUUUUGUUGUGUUUUUUGUUUUGUGUAUUGUUUGUAGAUAAAAUAUUUAAAUCAACACACUAUUAAGGUAAAUAUUUUUCAUUGCUAAAGUCUUUAGUUUUUUCUUUUUAUUUGUUUAAUUUAUUUUAUUGUUUGUAUUGCCAUAAUAAUUGGAAAUUUUUUUAAAUUUGAAUUUUUAUUGUUGAAUUUACCUUUAAAAUGUUAAUUUAAAUAUAGAAUUAAAUUUAAUUAUUUUAACUCAAUUUUAUUCUAUUAUUGCUUGUUAUGUUUUUUAUUAUUUCCAUUAAUUUUAAUUGUCAUUUAUGUAUUUAUAUAGAUGUUACUUGAAAAUAUAUAGAUGUUAAAUUUCUAUAAAUGUUAGGUUGUAUAUAAGAUUUUCCAAUGGAGUCAAUUGGUUUGUGGUUAUUGUAAAUAUUUGCAGGUUUGAAAACUGUGGGUAGUCUCUAGUAUAGAGGAGGUGCUGCCGAAUGUUUUUUAAAUAAUCAAAUUUAAUUAUGUAAUUAUUCAUAUAAAUUUGUGUAGAUGCAUAGAAUGAAAUCAACAGCACGUCAUCAGCAGACGGUUGUAACUAGUUCUUCUAGCAGCGAGGAUGACUUAUCCUUAGGUGCUGAUCACGAAGAGGCAUCUACGCCAACUUGUGAUGCUGCCUCUUCUAGCGCAGUUUCACAGCGCAGAGGCGGUGUGCCUUCACAGCAGGGUCAAUUCACCCGCAAGUACCAGGCACAAUGGAAGGAUGACCUUUCAAUGUCAGUUUGUUUAGGUUUUAGUUUCUUUUAUAUACUUAUAACAUAAUUUAUGAACAACUAAUUAAUAUUUUAUUAAUUUUAUUUAAUUUCAGGUUCACAAACAUUGAGGCUGCCUGGACAAUAACAUCGCGUUUAAAUCAUCGAUGGAGAUUCCAUUGUUUCAAUGGAGUCAGGUUUCCAAACUUCCUGAGUGGAGACCUAAUAUCGAUGCAUGGUUUCGACGAUUUCAGGUAAGUGUAACUUCUAAUUUCUAGCUUAUUUUUAAUAAAUUAUUUUUAUAAUUUUAUAUCUUGUACUAUUUUUAUUUUAAAUGAAUUAUUUAUACACAUCACACAUUUGAGUGGGAUAGAGCGAACAACAAUGUUGUGUGGAGGGAAUGGGAGAAUCACGCGGCAACUAGGUAACAUCGAAAAUAAUAUAAUUUUUUGUUUUAUAAUUUUAUGUUCUAAAUUCUAAUUUGUUACUAUGGAAGUAGGUUGCGUGAUUUUUGAUAUGACACAAAAAAAAAAGCAAAAAGAUAUGCGAGAGAUAACGGUCUAGAAGGCUGAAAUGAGGUGGUGGUUUGGUGGGAAUUCAAACCACCAUUCAUCUCGGGGGAUAUAUGGACGCAAUAUAUUGAGCACGUGACGUCUGAGCGGUUCGCACAACGCUCACAGUCCGGUGUCGCCAAUCAGAAUCGGCAAAUUCAUGGUUCGGUUACCACGCACACCAACGGCUCUUUUCUGUUCGGUGCACAUGCGAAGCGGAUGGUAAGAUUAAUUUAAAUGAAAUAUAUCGUUAAUUAAUUUGUUGUUGCUUAUAAAUAUAUUUAACUUGCAACCUUUUUUUUCCUUACAGACUUCGUCUCUUGGACGUGUGUCGAGCCCAAUGGAGCUGUUUAUAGAGACGCACGUGCGGAGUCAAGACCGUCAAAAAGGGGUGCAACAGUUCGUGGACAACCAUGCUCAAUACUUCGUGGUAUGUUCGUUCAAUAAUUUUAUUUCGUAAGUUAUUAUUUUCUUGAAUUAAAUAUGAUGAUUUUUUAAACAAUUUUCAGGAGACCUAUAAUAACCGGUUGAGGGAGAGAUAUGGGGACAAUCCUUCGACCCAUCUGGAUUUCGAUCCGGAUUUGUGGAUGGAGGUAGGAUCGUCUGGUGGACCCGAUAAAAAUCAGGUCUACAGGCUCUCCAACACUACGGCCGAAAACUUGCGGACAGCCUAUAGUGUCUCAACCGUUGGGAGCUCUACAUCAGUAUCGAGCACCUAGUCUGAGGAAUUCAUGGCCUUGAAAUAAUAAUAUGAACGACUCUCGAUGGAUUAUGAUCAGCUCCGUCAAAUGGUCAUCGACAUUAGAUCAAGGAUGGGUGAUGAUACAUGUGCAGCCCCUUUUUGGCCGUACAGUCCCGGGAACAACCAGCCUCCUCCUUCUCCUCCUCCUCCUCCAACUCUGCCGUUAUUCUAAUUUAAUUUUGUUUUUGAAACACAUUAAAUUUAUAAUGAAUAUUUGGAUGAAUAUUAUUUAAAAUUAUUUUUAUAUUUUUAAUGUUUAAUACAAUUUUAUUUGGUUAAUUAGUGUUUUUUUACUAUAAAUCAAUAUAAUAUUUGAAAAAAAAAUUAUUUAUUCUAAAUACUUUUUUAAAAAAAAAUUUAAAUAAAUGCCGACGGACUUGCAGAUGGAAUAUGUCAGUCGGUAUUAGACAAAGAGUUGAAAAAAAUUUACGACCCAUGCCACAAUCACCGACGGCCCAUCCGUUGGUGAUUUACCGUUGACAUUGCCGACAGCCUAUAUCCGUCGGUAUUUUACAGAGAGUUCUGAAAUAUUUACGGCCCAUGCCACCGUCACCAACGGACUGGCCGUCAGUGAUUUACCGUUGGAAAUACAGAUGGAAUACGUCUGUCAAUAAAGUUCUAGCGCGGGAAAUUUUUUAUGGAUGCGCUUUCCUCGUCUGUAAGACCGUCGGUGUUUGUUUUUUUUCUGACAAACAUACCGAUGGAAGUGGGAAUUACCGACGAUCAAUAUUCUAACAGACAUAUUCUGUCGAUGAGACCGUCGGCAAAAAUUUUACCGACGAAUUGUGUGUUUUACACUGACAUAAUUAUUCCAUCGGUAAAACUGUUUAAUGGUGGUGUAGUGUAAUUCAUUGAUUGCCUAGGACUUUAUGCCUAUAAAAAGGCUUGUAAUUAAGCAUUAUUAAGAAGUACAAAAGAGAGGGAGAGAAUAGCUAAGAGAGGCAAAUUUGGAAAAGGAGUUUGUGGUAGCCAUAACAGGUCAAAUGAUCGAACACAUGAAGCAAAUCGGUCGAUCGAUUACAUUAAUAGUGACAAUCCAAAAUCUAGGUUUGACAAAUCAAAAGUUAAAUGCUAUAAUUAUCAAAAAGUAUGUCAUUAUGCUAGGGAUUGUUGGAGUCCAACUAAAAAGUUUUAGAAGAAUGCAAAUCUAGUAAUAUAAGAGAAAAGGGAAGCCACCCUAUUACUAGUGCAUGAUGAGAGAAUGCAAGACAAAUAGAACAUAUGGUAUCCAAACAAUGAAGCUAAUGUGUGGAGACAAAGACAGGUUCAUGGAGCUUGAUGAAGCAAUUAGAGGUGAUGUCACCUUUGCGAAUCAUUCAAAGGUUGCCAUAAAAAAAAUAUACGAUUUUGAUUAAAUUGAAAUAUGUAAGUCAUCAAUUUAUUCAUGAUUUUUAUUAUAUACCAAUAGGAAAAAGCAACAUAUUGAGCUUAGGACAAUUGUUGGAGAAGGGGUAUGAGAUUAAGAUGAAAUAUCGUACUUUGACAUUACUACAAAAGGAGCUCUGAUUGCAAAGGUAGUUAUGAUAAAAAAAAAAAAAUUAUAAUGUUCUUGUUAAACAUAGAGACAAAUGUGUCUAAAUGCCUAAAUGCAUGUGUGAAGGAUGAGACUUGAAUUUAGCAUAUGAGACUUGGGCAUGUAAACUUUGAUAGUUUGAAGAUGAUGGCAUAAAAGGAGAUGUUGAAGGGUCUACCAUCCAUUAUACUCUAAAUUAGUUGUGUGAAGGAUGUUAAGUGGGCAAGCAAUUCCCUAAGAUUUUUCUGAAGAAGUCUACAUCAAGAGCAAGUCAACCCCAACAAGAAAUACAUAUUGAUGUUUGUGGUCCUAUCAAACCAUUUUUUUGGUAAAAAAUUGUAUUUUUUACUUUUUAUUAAUGAUUAUAGUAUGAAAAACUUGGGUAUACUUCUUAAAAGAAAAGUCUAAUUGUAAUUUUAAUGAGUUUUAUGAAGAUCAUGAUAUAAAGAGACUCCUAACGGUGCCUAUAUUCCCACAACAAAAUAACAUGGUGGAGAGAAAGAAUAGAAGCAUCCUCAACAUGAUAAGAAGCAUGCUCAAAACCAAGAAGAUGCCUAAAUAGUUUUGGGCCAAAGUUGUAGAUUGUGCUAUUUACUUGUCAAAUAGGUGUCUCAUUAAAGGCUUGAAUGACAUGACUACAUAAGAAGCAUGAAAAUGAUCAAGUAAGGACCAAACUAGAUGAUAAGAGCAAAAAAAUAAUCUUUGUGAGUUAUGAUCAAAUAGAUUACAAAAACCAAAGUUAAUAAUGCCAUGCUUAUGACCUUGGUCAUGAGUUGGGCGGGUUAUCCCAGUUAGAGCCAAGUCAAUUCAAAAUGUCACUAUUUCAAUAUUUGUUUCUAUAAAAAAAAUGUUAAGCCGACAUCUUUUAAGAAAAAACUUAAAAGUCAAACUGAGUUUUAACUAGGUCGAUCCAGUUGUGAGUGCACCUACUAGAUCAACCGGGUUACACCAGGUCAACUCCCACAUGGAUUACUUUAAAACUCGGUCCAUACUAAAGCUCGGUCAAUGGAACACUAUUAUCAUAACCUAAUUUUUAUCCCCUUUAAAAAAUAAUUUUCAUCAUAAUAUUUAGUAGAUAAAAUUCGAUAGAUUUUCAAGAAAAAGACAAUUGUUGAAAAUUAAUCACAAUACAAAACAAAAUCAUAAAAAUGAAAGAAAAAAAGAAAAAAAUAAUUAAAGAUAAAAUCAAACAAAUAAUGAAUUUUCAAAAAGCAUGGACUAGGUUAUAGCAAUUACAAAAGGUUAAGGAUAAUUUUGAGAAAUAAUAAUGGAUUUGAUUGAAAGAAAAUUGAAUAAAAAAGUUGAAAUUGAUCAAAUUUGCAUGAAUUGAAAGACUUAGGACCAAGAUGAAAGAUAUGGAAAAGUUUGAAGGUCUUUUUAAUUUAAACAGUGACUUAAUUGAAGAAAUUUUGAUAUUUAAUAUCAAUUUAACUAAAAAUAAAAGAAUUAAAGGAUCAAGAACUAAAAUGUUGAAGAUACCUUAAUAGUAGUUUGAAUGCCACAAUAACACUCCCAAGUUGUAAAAUCAGUUUUGGUUUUGAAAAAUAAAACAACAAAAAUCAAUCAUAAAACAUGAAAUAUCCUCAAAAUGAGCCAUUCUUGUUAUGAAAACCAUAAAAAAGAUGUGUUUUUAGUUGUGUUGUUUGUCUUUAACCAAGCUUGGUCAUUAAGAGUUAAUAAUGAACAUAUCUUAGUAUGUUUUUAUUGAUGCAAUAAUUAAUAAAUAAAGUGCAUUACAUUUCAUACUAAACCAAAUAAUUCUUUUGGAAGCAACUUAUGGUUUUUUCAUGGUGGAAGUUGACCUAUUCUAAGCAUGAAAUAUUGUUGUUAUUAUGCAUGAGAAAAUAUGGUACGGAAAGUUUCUCUUCGUUAUUGGAACAAGGUUGGAUAUAACAUAUUGUGUGUAAAGCUGCUUUUGAAUCCUAAAUAUGUCAAUUUUCUAGGUUUCCAACCCAUUGUUUUGGUUAGAAAGCAUGUGUCAUUUGGUUUGGAGACUAUGGCAACUUAUGGUUAUCAUAAUCUAGAUUUUUUUUUUAUUCUUUUGAUAUCAUGUUUAACUUUGGAGAUUUAUAGUUCACCUUUCUAGGGUUUUUUUAGUUAUAGUGCACGCUCUAUUUGCUUAAUUCAUUAGGAUUUAUGCUAAAUAUACUUGAUUAUAAUAAACAUGAGGAAUUAUGGACUAGAUGCAUGUUUUGGUUAUUUAAAUGAUGCAAGCUUGAAACAUUUUCUUACAGGGUUAGGUUUGUUUAUCUAGGGUUUGUUGAUUAGGAAAGAAUUAGCUUUACUAAGAUUGUGUGCUUUAUGGUAAUCUUAGAUUAAACUUUUUGUUUUAAAAGAAAAAAAUCAACAAAAUCGUCUAUUUUUAAGGAUUAAUGUAUGUCAAAUUUAUCGAAGAGUCUCUUAUUCAUAGGGACCAACAUUAUUUUCUAAAAUAAAUCAUGAGUAAGCUUAGAAAUAUAUCUAGGUAAUUAAUAGCAUGUAUAGAAUAAAUUUAUGAGAAAAAACAUAGUAAAGAUAACUUUUUUUUCAUUUGAAAGGAUGUUAUAAGGGUGAUAUUGAUCUUCUCUUAAAGCAUAACUAACUUUGUAACUGAAUCUUUGAAACCGGUAUUAAUUUUAAAAUUUUUAGUUUUCUUUAUUUAUAUCAUGUAUUUAUCGUGGUAUAGAUCCCAUGAAAACAUACAACAUUACUUUAUAUAACAUUCAUGCGCGUCCCAUCCUUCUAAAGCAUGCACUAUUCCAGCCACACGCCAUGCGCUCAUCACUCUUCUUGGCAGCCAAUUCUGUCAUCAAGUAUUUUGCAAUACAAAUUAAUUAUCUUUCCUAAAAUAAGAAAAUAAUGCAAAUAGUACCUUAAAUUUCAGCAAUAUUUGACUAAUUAAUUACCUCGCAAGAGUCUAUAUUUUCAAGAGAUGCAGGGGCUGCCAUUGCUGGUAUGCUAUGAUAGAAGCAAUCCUUGCGCAAUUUCUUUGGGGGAAAUUGCGAGAAGGGAAUAAAUAAUGUUCCUUCUGCUGCUUUCUUUUGGUCCUCUUCUUUCAAUCCAUCACCAACUAACCACGUCUACACAACAAAGUUUAUUAUGAUAUUAGAAAUGUCAAUAUAUAUAUAUAUAUAUAUAUAUAUAUAUAUAUAUAUAUAUAUAUAUAUGCAUGCUACUUAAAUAAUUUAAGUUGUAAUUUAUUUUAUUUUUGACAAAAAAAAAAAUUAAUUUCUAAUUCCUUGGUAGCUAAAGAAAGCAUAUAUGUAGGUAUAGCGUACCUUUAUUGAAUAACUCUUUGAAAGAAUCAGAUUGUUCUGAUCAGAUGUGAUGCCGAAGGAUUUUUUAAGCUUCUGGUAAUCAUCCUCACAUGGAACAACUACCUAAAAAAUUAGUGAAAAUGAUCGUAAUAAUUAGGAAUUAGAAAUUAAAACAUGACCAUAAAUUAAAUUUGCCUAUACAAUCAAUUUAAAUAAAUUACUGUCAAAUUGAAGAAAGUUACAACAUGUGCCUAUUUGCCUAGUAGACAACAACAAUACCUAAAUGCCUAAAUGCAUAGAUGAAGGAUGAGACUUGGCUUUGUCAUAGAGACUUGGGCAUAUAAACUUUAAUAGCUUGAAGAUGAUGACAUAAAAAGAGAUAUUGAAGGGUUUACCAUCCAUUAUACAUCUAAAUUAGUUGUGUGAAUGAUGUUUAGUGGGUAAACAAUUUCACAAGAUUUUUCUGAAGGAUUAUACAUCAAGAGCAAGUUAACCCCUACAAAAAAUACAUGUCGAUAUUUGUGUUCCUAUCAAACCAUGUUCUUUCGGUAAAAAUCUGUAUUUUCUACUUUUUAUUGAUGAUUAUAAUAGAAAAACUUGAGUAUAUUUCUUAAAAGAAAAGUCUAAUGUGUUUAGUUUUUUUAAGAAGUUUAAGGCCUUUAUUGGAAAAAAAAAAAAAAGUGAUUAUUCUAUAAAACCACUUAGGACGGAUAGAGGAGUGAAUUUUGUUCUAAUGAUUUUAAUGAAUUUUGUGAAGAUCAUAGCAUAAAAAGACUCCUAACGAUGUUUAGAUCCCCACAACAAGAUGACGUGGUGGAGAAAAAGAAUAGAAGCAUCUUCAACAUGGCAAGAAACAUGCUUAAAAUCAAGAAUAUGCCUAAAUAGUUUUGGGUCAAAGCUGUAGAUUAUUCUAUUUACUUGUCAAAUUGAUGUCCCACUAAAAGCUUGAAUGACACGACUCCAUAAAAAGCAUGAAGAUAAACAAGUAAGGACCAAACUAGAUGACAAGAGCAAAAGGAUUAUAUUUAUGAGCUAUGAUCAAAUACAUUACAAAAAGCAAAGUUAAUAAAUUUAGUCAUGCUUAUGACCUUGGUCAUGAGUUGGGCGGGAUAACCCAAUUAGACCCAAGUCAAUUCAAAUUGUCAUUGUUUCAAUAUUUGUUUCUACAAAAAAAAAAAACAUGUUAAACCGACAUCUUUUAAGAAAAAACUUAAAAGUCAAGCUAAGUUUUAACUAGGUCGAUCCAGUUAUGAGUGCACCUACUAGAUCAACCGAGUUACACCAAGUCAACUCCCACAUGAUUUACUAUGAAACUCGGUCCGUGCCAUUUAAUAGAACACUAUUAUGAUAACCUAAUUUUUAUCCCCUUAAAAAAAUAAUUUUCAUCAUAAUAUUUAGUAGAUAAAAUUCAAUAGAUUUUCAAGAAAAAGAAAAUUGUUGAAAACUACUUAUAAUACAAAAAAACAAAUCAUAAAAAAUGAAAGAAAAAAAAAAGAAAAAUACAAUUAGAGAUAAAAUCAAACAAAUAAUGAAUUUUCAGAAAACAAGGACUGGGCUAGAGCAAUUACAAAAGGUCAAAGAUAAUUUUGAGAAAUAAUGAUGGAUUUGAAUGAAAGAAAAUUGAAGAAAAAUGUUAAAAUUGACCGAGUUUGCAUAAAUUAAAAGACUAAGGACCAAGAUAAAAGAUAUGGAAAAGUUUGAAAGUCUUAUUAAUUCAAACAAUGGCUUAAUUGAAGAAAUUUUGAUAUUUAAUGUUAAUUUAACCAAAAAUAAAAGAAUUAAAAGAUGAAGAACCAAAAUAUUCAGGAUGCUUUAAUAGUAGUUUGAAUGCUACAACAACACUCCCAGAUGGUAAAAUCAAUUUUGGUUUUGAAAAAAAAAACAGCAAAAAUCAAUCAUGAAAUAUCCUUAGCCAUUCUUGUUAUGAAAACCAUAAAAAAGAUGUGUUUUAAGUUUUGUUGUUUGUCUUUAACCAAGCUUGGUCAUUACGAGUUAAUAAUGAAGAUAUUUUCAUGUUUUUAUUGAUGCAAGAAUUAAUAAAUAAAGUGCAUUACAUUUCAUACUAAACUAAAUAAUUCUUUUGGAAGCAACUUAUGAUUUUUAAAUGGUGGAAGUUAACCCAUUCUAAGCAUAAAAUAAUAUUGUUGUUUUUAUCCAUGAGAAAAUAUAGUAGGGAAAGUUUCUUUUAUUUAUUGGAAUAAGGUUGGAUAUAAAAUAUUAUAUGUAAGGCUGCUUUUUAAUCCUAAAAAUAUCAAUUUUCUAGGUUUCCAACCCGUUGUUUUGGUUAGAAAGCAUAUGUCAUUUGAUUUGGAGAAUAUGACAAUUUAUGGUUAUCAUAAUCUAAGUUUUUUUUUUAUUCUUUUGAUACUAUGUUUAACUUGGAAUUAUAUAUUUUGGAGAUUUAUAGUUCAUCUCCCUAGGGUUUUUUUUAUGGUGCAUGCUCUCUUUGCUUAAUAUCCUUGAUUAUAAUAAACAUGAAGAAUUAUGGACUAUAUACAUGUUUUGGUUAUUCAAAUGAUGCAUGAAUGAAUAAUAAGAAGCUUGAAACCUUUUCUUAUAAGGUUAGGUUUGUUUAUCUAGGGUUUGUUGAUUAGGAAAGAAUUAACUUGACUAAGAUUGUAUGCCUUAUGUUAAUCUUAGAUUAAAUUUUUUGUUUUAAAAGAAAAAAAAUCAACAAAAUUGUUUAUUUUAAGGAUUAAUGUAUGUCAAAUUUAUCGACGAGUCUCCUAUUCAUAGGGACCAAUAUUAUUUUUAAAAAUAAAUCAUGAAUAAGCUUAGAAAUAUAUCUAGGUAAUUAAUAGCAUGUAUAGAAUAAAUUUAUGAGAAAACACAUAGUAAAGAUAACUUUUUUUUCAUUUGAAAGGAUAUGGUAAGGGUGACAUUGAUCUUCUCUUUAAGCAUAACUAACUUAGUAGCUGAAUCUUUGAGACCGGUAUCAAUUUUAGAAUUUUUAGUUUUAUUUAAUUAUGUCAUGUAUUCAUCGUGGUGUGAUAACUAUGUUAACAUACGAAACUAGGUUGGGUUUAAAAACAUUGUAAAAUAAAUCUCAUGAAAACAUAUAACAUUAUUUUAUAUAACAUUUAUGAUGGAAUCAGAUACCAGAGCAGGCAUAAAAGAAAGUAAAAAUAACCAUCAUAAUAUUCCAUUACUAAUUAUUUGUCCAUUGCAUAGAGAAAUAACAUAAUAUUAAUGGGUAGAGAUAACAUAUAUAGUAGUGGAUAACAUAUAUAUAUAUAUAUAUGUAGUUUGCAAUAUCAUGGAGGUGAUAUGCAACAUCUAAACCGUUUCAGGCAUGUAUAAUUAAUUAAGGCAAGGCUACCAACAUAAGAUAGCUAAAUAUCCAUUAGAAUUUUAAUGGAGUCUUGAUGACCAGAGGUUUGAACCCAUGUUGGAUACUUGCUUGCCAAACUUUGUCAAUGUCAGCCAUGGUAGAACCGCAUUCAUGCUCGUCCCAUCCUUCCAAGGCAUGCACUAUUCCAGCCACACGCCAUGCGCUCAUCACUCUUCUUGGCAGCCAAUUCUGUCAUCAAGUAUUUUGCAAUACAAAUUAAUUAUCUUUCCUAAAAUAAGAAAAUAAUGCAAAUAGUACUUUAAAUUUCAGCAAUAUUUGACUAAUUAAUUACCUCGCAAGAGUCCACAUUUUCAAGAGAUGCAGGGGCUGCCAUUGCUGGUAUGCUAUGAUAGAAGCAAUCCUUGCGCAAUUUCUUUGGGGGAAAUUGCGAGAAGGGAAUAAAUAAUGUUCCUUCUGCUGCUUUCUUUUGGUCCUCUUCUGUCAAUCCAUCCCCAACUAACCAUGUCUACACAACAAAGUUUAUUAUGAAAUUAGAAAUGUCAAUAUAUAUAUAUACUACUUAAAUAAUUUAAGUUGUAAUUUAUUUUAUUUUUGACAAAAAAAAAAUUGAUUUCUAAUUCCUUGGUAGCUAAAGAAAGCAUAUAUGUAGGUAUAGCAUACCUUUAUUGAAUAACUCUUUGAAAGAAUCAUAUUGUUCUGAUCAGAUGUGAUGCCGAAGGAUUUUUUAAGCUUCUGGUAAUCAUCCUCACAUGGAACAACUACCUAAAAAAUCAGUGAAAAUUAUCGUAAUAAUUAGGAAUUAGAAAUUAAAACAUGGCCAUAAAUUAAAUUUGCCUAUACAAUCAAUUUGAAUAAAUUACUGUCAAAUUGAAGCAAGUGACAAACUGUGCCUAUUUGCCUAGUAGACAACAACAGUACCUGGAUUCCCCUCCGGCAGAGAUUUAAAGCAACAGCAUAGGCAACCUUAGAGAGAUUGCCUCUAUGAAGCACGUGUGUUGUUCCUUUAGGUAUGCUAUUCAGCACUGCAGCAACGGCUAGACUGCUUCCAUCCACCACCUUCGUUUUGAGCCUGGGAUGCCUUUGCACAUAAAGUUCACCAUACCUAUUAAGCUCCUCUCCCUGCAUAAUUUAAUUAUGUUUGAACAUGAUGAAGAUACAAUUAACAAACAUUUGAUUGCCAAAUGUCAUUAGUUUUAUCUGUUGAUCUAUGAUGUAUCGUAUCCAUGAAAUAUGGGAAAUUGAAAAAAAAAAAAACCUAUAAACUCAACUACGUUGCAUCUAGUAAUGGCCGUUCUUAAGUAACCGGCCACCACCGUUUUUUUUUUUUUUCUAGAAUGCAUUAUAUUUUAGCCGUGAAGUGCUUGCCUGAUUCAAGAGACCGAGACUUAACACUUUAACACCUUUUUCCUCAGCUUCAAGUACAGCUUCUUCAAUCAAGGUAUUUAUGGAUACUUUUUGCCAUCGCAAGUUGUACUGCCAAAAAUUAGAUAAGCAAAUUAAGGAGAACAUAUUAAACUGAACGCCCUUGAUUAAUCUGAGUUUGUGGCAGAUAAUGGCAGAUAAAAUACGAUAAUGACAAAGAAAUAUCCUUCUUAAUUACUUGAAUAUUGUAUUUUGGUAAGGUCCACGUCUGUAAUCUGAGUUUGCGGAAGCGAUUCCUCUCGACAACAAAAGUGCGUCCAUAAAUCCAAGUUAACAUCAUAGUCCACAAGGUCACCGGCCACAUUAACCAUAGAUACCAUUUCGAUUCUUGAGGGGUGGAAGCCAAGCAGGCAAGUCCUAGCCGUAAAUGAUAGAUGGAAUCUGGUGUGGUAAGAUGAGUUAGAUGCACUACAUCAGGGGCUUCCUCGAGUCUCUUGAGCGAAUCUUCAUAGAGGGUAACAGAAGACGUGUCCAUUGUGCCAUAGAUGUAAUCAUAGAUGGGCAUGAAUAGUGAGUAAUUGGUUCU